RNAcentral lists this long non-coding RNA (55081 nucleotides) under Setaria viridis. RNAcentral describes it as "long non-coding RNA (SVIR_LNC010032)". Lineage: Eukaryota; Viridiplantae; Streptophyta; Magnoliopsida; Poales; Poaceae. The record is from RNAcentral.
AGUAAAAAACAUGCACACACAGAUAAUAAUAAUAAUCAUGUUUCCAUAAAAUUGCUAAGUCCAGAGAUAAUACAUAAACAUAGUAGACUGUUCAUGACACAUAUCACGGUGGACAGUGUUUGUGUCCUUAUUACAAGCAACGAGAGAUGCUCGUCACCAACACGCGCGCGCACAGAUGCACGACAUACAUAUAGUAGAGACCAACAGAUGGUCGUCCCAUAUGGUGAACAAUUUAUUGGGGAUAAAUAUUAACGUAACUUGGCCAUAGCUUGAAGCAUAGCAACAUAUGCCUAUGAGUGGCAUUCAUGCUAUCGUUUUAGGCUUGUCCAGCUCCUUCCAUCUUAGCAAGCACUUCCAUUUCUACCAUCUUAGCAGCAACUGUCAAAUUGAGAUACGGAAAUCCCAUUAGCGCAUGAGUUAAUUUUGCAGUGGAAAUAGAGUACAAGAUGUCUUCAUGAUGUAAGUAAUAUGCCUGAAGUUGUGAGAUGGGAAGUGAAGUCAACAAAUUACAUUAACGGAAAUGCAUGGAAGGCCACACAUACGUAUUAGUCCAUGAUAUGCUACAAAGCUUGUAUGUACAUAUAGCAAAUUAAAUGCAUUAAUUGAAUAGAGUGUGUUUAGUGAAUUUACCAGAAUCGUCCAGAAAACAUGGGAAACAGCAAGUGUUCUUGCAGACUGCGUCGGAGGCACCCGCACGAAUACAAAGCUGACAACAUAGUUUUGCCUGGGCGGAUGCGCAGCAGCCGCACUCCGCCGCGGUGGGGUUAACAUUGAGGCUCAAGAUGACCAGGCACAUGAUCACCAUCAAAGUGGUAGUCCUCUUUCCCUCCAUUGCCUCCUCUUAGCUUGCUGCUACCUUCCUUGGUUACCUAGCUAAGUUUAUUGGUUUUGUGUUGAGAGGUGUGAUUUUUGAAUGGACGUUGCCGGCGGCAAUUUAUAGGCAGCUGAGCUAUGUGAUGAUAUGGACUAGGUGCAAAUGGGUGGUUAAUGGCAAGGAAAGGGGCGUCAGACAAAGCCCAAUGGCAACUGCUGACAUGCGAUUAAAUUCAGAUCCACAUCCGGCCAUUCAAUAAUACGGUUGGAGUUGUGGCACAGAUAUAUUAUUGCAUGAUCAUCAAGAUAAGAUCGUACAGUGACUGAGUGAGACAAUAAAUAGCCAAGUAAACUAUUUUAUCCUGCUGCAAGCUGCAUUCAUAAGUUUAUUUCACCUUUGAUCACAAUACUCUUCACACACGUACGUCUCAGGGAGAUCUCACUUCCGCUGGACUGCUCACUUCCGCUGUCGUCGGUACUGCCAAAGACAUAAGCUCACAUCUGCUAUUGCGGAGCAGGCCAAUUUGCUGCGGAACUUCGGCGACGACCUGAAGGACAUGAACUCGGUGCUGGAGUCCAUCUCAGCAGCGCUCUAGGACGCUGACACCGGUAGAAAAACGACCUUCCAUCGUCAACAAAAAUCCCGGUAGCUUUUUUACUCGGUACUAAAGAGGUUUUAAUCUCGUGCAAACACCUUUAGUCCAGAUUGCUAUUACCACGCAACCCGGACUAAAGCGUCCCCCGCGAGUUAGUAUAUAAGGAUUGCAUCCUUUACUCAGUCAGAUAUAAUAUGUAGGUGAGAUGGUAAGGAAGCUAUGCGUGAGGCUUCAGGUUGUGGGUUCGAAUCCAAGUGGGUGCAGCUGUGGCUUAAGCGGCUGAGGCACGCCGCCAUAGACAUCUCAGAUUUGCUCGAAGACUACCAAGACACUAGUGAACCCUUAACAGUAAAGGUGAGUACUUAUGAAUGUCAGCAUCCAUGUUGUCCAUGCUUCCAAUGUAAUAACAAGAUGGACUACUCUUCCUAGCGGACUCUUCACAACCACUCGUAAAGCUAUGCGUUUCUCAAUGCAAUUUCGUAGAAGCCAAUCGAUCCAACCAAGUGACUAAAUCAUUCGUCCUUUCCAAUGAUGUGCAUCAGGUUUUCUAUAUGAAGGGCAUGUCUAGCAAACCUAAGAUUUCAGAAGAAAAAGAAAAAUCAUUGGAGCCAAAGAGCCACAUAGUUCUUCUAGGAAAAAAAUCAUGGGAGUCGAGAACAUAUCAAACCAAUCAGGGGAUUAUGGUCAGCUUAAUGGCAUGCCUCCAUUCGAUGUCGAAGUUCACCCAAGCAUCAUGUUAGCCAAACAUCAAAUGUUCGUGCGUUGUUACGGUAAAGAUCAAUUGUGUUUUUUAAACUCUUGGAAUUUUUUUAUCUAAGUUUUUAUUUACACUUAUUGGAUGUCUACACAUUUGCUAGAAAACUAAAAUAAUUUGGACUUAAUUAUUUCUUUCAACUGAAGUACUCACUAAAUUUCUACCUUUUUAUUUAAGCAAGAGAGUUGCUAAAAAAAAUGGAUACGUAACCAUGUUGUAUCAUACAAAGUAACCACGUUUCACAUAUAGUCCGGCUUAGCAAACACCAUUGUUUUCUGAACAUAGCGUACAUGAGUUAACAGACAUGGAUUUAUUUCUAUUGCAAGUAGCAUAGCGUACAACCUGCCUGCACCGAUGCAGCUCAAUAUGCGAUAAUUUUUAUCUUCCCAUGUAAUUUUUCUACUCUAGUACAUAUUGAACUCCACAUUAAUGUCAUGUUCUUUCGCGCCCCAGAAGGUUCCUAAAGUUUGGAAACUUAAUAGAUAGCCAGAAUUUUUUUUAAAGAUAUUUAUAUGGAUACUUGUAUGUUCUUUCCAAACUAACAAUAUUGUUUACCAAUAUCAGAAGGAAUAUGGUUAGGAGCCAUUGCCGCAUAUGGCAGGUGAUGGUAGAUGGCGUAUGGGGUUUCGUUAAUUUAAUGGUAUAAUAAGCUGAAAUACAUUUUCUAUUUGCAAAUGAAUCAUAGCUGAAAUUGGUGGGAUUGUUUUUUCGCCGGUUUAGCAUCCUGUGCACCAGUUCAACCGGAGGGAAGCUGUUUUUUUUCUUUGGUUUUCCACCGGUUCACCGAGACCGAUGACAAUUUUAUGGCAGAAUCAUUACUUGUUUUACUAUUAGGUGAAGAUUUUAGCGUUUAGGUAUCUCACAUUAAACGCAACUUCAACAAUCUAUUUCUAGUGUAUAAUGUAGGAGACCCCGUAAAGAGUCUACACACACAUAUAUGUUGACUAUGAAUGUAAGUUUGUUGGUUUUAUGUAUGUUCGUUUGGAGUUUAUAUAAAUUUUACAUUUUAUAGUUUUGUGUAUAUGACGAAGAUCCAUGACUUGCAUUAAUUUAGCCUUUCUUCCAACAACUCUUAUGCAUGCUGUUUCUAGGCGAGCGUACUGGUUGCAAUUUUGGUCCCCGAUAUAGUGUGAGGACUUAAGGGACACGUGCAGGUCGUAACCUUAGAUAUUUUUGCUGAGAAUGGAUGAAGAAGCAAUAAUAUACUUUGCUUCUGAUUUUCUCCAUGUCAUUUGCUUACUCUUAUCCCUUUUAUUUAUCAUUAUAAGAUGAAAAUAUUGUAAAAACUUGGCUACGUGCGGUCGCAGAAGCUAGAGACUAAAGCGUCCCCCACGAGUUACUAUAUAAAAGGAUUGCAUCCUCUACUCAGUCAUAUGUACUGUGUAGGUGAGAUGGUAAGGAAGCUAUGUGUGAGGCUUGAGGUUGUAGGUUCGAAUCCCACGCACCGCGUGCGCAUGCGCAUAUUUUGCGUGAAAAAUCGCAUGACUUGUGGUCGGCCAAGGAGAAGUGCGUGCGGCUGAGGCACGCCGCCAUAGACAUCUCGGAUUUGCUCCAAGACUACCAAGACACUAGCGAACCCUUAACGGCAAAGUUGAGUACUUACGCGUGUUAGCAUCUAUGUUGUCCAUGCUUCCAAUGCAAUAACAAGAAGGGCUACUCAUCCUAGCGGAUUCUUCACAACCACUCGUAAAGCUAUGCGUUUCUCAAUGCAAUUUCGUAGAUGUCAAUCGAUCCAACCAAGCGACUGAAUCAUUCGUCCUUGCUAAUGAUGUGCAUCAGGUUUUCUAUAUGAAGAACAUGUCUAGCAAAUCCAAGAUUUCAGAAGAAAAAUAAAAAUCAUGAGAACCAAAGCACCACGUAGUUCUUCCAGGUAAAAAAAACAAUCAUCCACUGGGAUGACACACAGUAGCGAUCCAAAACGUCCAUAUUAAGACUUUUUGAUAGCAGAAAAAACAUGAAAAUGUCUAAUAUUUGUAGUAUUAAAAGGAAAAAUAAUAUAUUCACUUGACCUUUUUUUCGUAGCAACGCACCGGUGCGUAGUCAGACUUAGGCCACGUUUGGAUACUCCCUACUAAAGUUUAGCACCUGUCACAUAGGAUGUUUGGAUACUAAUUAGGAGUAUUAAACAUAGGCUAAUUAUAAAACUAAUUGAAUAGAUGGAGUCUAAUUUGCGAGACGAAUCUAUUAAGCCUAACUAGUCCAUGAUUUGACAAUGUGGUGCUACAGUAACCAUUUGCUAAUGGUGGAUUAAUUAGGCUUAAUAGAUUCGUCUCGCGAAUUAACAUAGGGUUCUGCAAUUAAUUUUAUAAUUAGCUCAUGUCUAGUCCUUCUAAUUAGCAUCCGAACAUCUGAUAUGAUACUGCUAAAGUUUAUCACCUAGUAUCCAAAUACCCCCUUAAUGCACGAUGCCUGUGCAUCCACUGGGCCUACCCUCGUGGAUCACGCGCUCGUGGAUCACGCGCACCAUGACAUGGCUCAUUAGCUAGUCGUGCUAAUCCUUACCACCAAAUUAAAAACUAGCAUGUGUUGUGUGUUUGUGACCCUAAACGACUACCACCUUCCCGAGUCCACCGGAGUUGCCAGUUCACCACUAAGCUGACUCUCCGAGCUUCAUGUCACUGUCACCGCUCCAAAGACCUAGAUCGGUUCGCUGUGCACCCCGCUUCGUCCUGAGCUAAAUCCCAUCACGAAAGGUGACCGGAUGCUCGUUUUCGAGCGAAUUCUAGCGAGAUUGCCACCACCUUUCCCCUUCCAGCCGAUCGCAGCUGUCUGAUCACAAACCGACAGCCCAGAUCGGAUUUGACCAGGUCAAUACCGGUCAAGCCGAGAUGCAUGCUGCUUUUGCAAGAAGGCCCCUAUUUUUCUCUCGUUUUGCACUUGAGGUCCUACGCAGUUCAAAAGUAAUUAGAUCUAGAUCCUUUUUCUUCUGUUUUAGCCCUGUUCUUUUAUAAAAUCCCACCCGCCAUCCUGUUUGGUAUUUUGACAUGUUAGACCUUCUAUUUAUAUGUUUAAUUAGGUUUUAGCCCUUGGUUUCUUUAAGUUUAGCUCUUGGAAGUUUAGUUUUCUCGCAGUUAAGCCCCUGAACCUUGUUUAGUUCAUAUCUUUAGCGUUUUAAAUCCGUUUUAAGAGAUUCUUACGCCCAUAAGUUCGUGUUGAUGCAUAGAUUAGUUGACUUAUACGGACCUUGCUGAUUCAGCUCCUUCAUUGUGCUUCAGAUCUCGCUAGUGAAGAAUAAUGGAUGGGCUUUGGUUGAGCUUGUAGAUCGACCUGCAGUUGCAGUGAAUGUGCUGAGGACUGGCGGUACCAAUAAUGGGAGGCCGCUGCUCUGCUUGCUACCAAGGCCUGCGACGCUUGGACGCCAUUCAGAGUGCAUAAUUUCCAAGGAUCUCAAGGGCUCCACACCACGUUCCAAGUGUUUUUUCUUUGCCGAGUGUUUUUAGCUCGGCACUUGGCAAAGAGCUUGUUUGCCGAGUGUCCGAAAAAAACACUUGGCAAAGAGAAAACACUCGGCAAAUUUGAUGUUUCCCGUAGUGAUGUACUAUUCAAACUUGAACUGGGAUGCAGGCUUCAGUACCAAAGAGAGCUCUGGGCGCGGGUGAGCAGUGAGCUGGCCGGGCAGGGAGCUCCAAAGCGACAGCAACAAAGAGAGAAAUGCUAAGAGUAAGAACGACACACGAGGUCACUUCACAUAGAUAAUAGCAGUACGAACCAUACAAUAUCCUCUCUCAGUUUCACUCCGCCUCACACACGGCUAGCACACCAUGCAUGCCGAUUUCAUAUUAUUAAUAUUAUUUUUUGGAUGGUUGUUGAAACUAUAUAUAUAGUUAGUCCAAUCUCACGUUUCCGAUUAUAAAAAUCAACGUAAAGAGAUCGGUAGGGAGAGCCGGCAUAAUGAAGCCGACGCGUGUAAUAAGCACCAGAGCCGGCAUUUAUACAAACUGGUACGAAUAGUAAAAAACUAGAAUUUAUAAAUAAAAAAAUGAUUUGCACAUCUAUGCAAUAAUUAGGGGUUAGUGGCAGGUCUAGAGAGAUAUCUCAUCAUUAUAUCCGGUUUAACGAGGAUAAAAAAGAGUGUAUUUUCCACUCAUCAUGUUGUCUUUUCGCAGCGGUACCACUUUUCGUGUGUUGUAUCGGUCCCCUAAUACGGAGUCUCCGAGGCCCGAGAAAAUAAGGAAAGUGAUAGUAGCCCAGAAAUCGGCCAAGUUUCUUUCCCCUUUGGCUUUCCUACUAGGAUUCAGAAUCCUCUUUCGCAUGACAAUCUUAAUUAUCUCCCAUACUCCAAAACUCACAAAAACAUCAAGAGUCCGCUGAGAAUAAAUUUAAGUAAAAAACAUGCACACACAGAUAAUAAUAAUAAUCAUGUUUCCAUAAAAUUGCUAAGUCCAGAGAUAAUACAUAAACAUAGUAGACUGUUCAUGACACAUAUCACGGUGGACAGUGUUUGUGUCCUUAUUACAAGCAACGAGAGAUGCUCGUCACCAACACGCGCGCGCACAGAUGCACGACAUACAUAUAGUAGAGACCAACAGAUGGUCGUCCCAUAUGGUGAACAAUUUAUUGGAGAUAAAUAUUAACGUAACUUGGCCAUAGCUUGAAGCAUAGCAACAUAUGCCUAUGAGUGGCAUUCAUGCUAUCGUUUUAGGCUUGUCCAGCUCCUUCCAUCUUAGCAAGCACUUCCAUUUCUACCAUCUUAGCAGCAACUGUCAAAUUGAGAUACGGAAAUCCCAUUAGCGCAUGAGUUAAUUUUGCAGUGGAAAUAGAGUACAAGAUGUCUUCAUGAUGUAAGUAAUAUGCCUGAAGUUGUGAGAUGGGAAGUGAAGUCAACAAAUUACAUUAACGGAAAUGCAUGGAAGGCCACACAUACGUAUUAGUCCAUGAUAUGCUACAAAGCUUGUAUGUACAUAUAGCAAAUUAAAUGCAUUAAUUGAAUAGAGUGUGUUUAGUGAAUUUACCAGAAUCGUCCAGAAAACAUGGGAAACAGCAAGUGUUCUUGCAGACUGCGUCGGAGGCACCCGCACGAAUACAAAGCUGACAACAUAGUUUUGCCUGGGCGGAUGCGCAGCAGCCGCACUCCGCCGCGGUGGGGUUAACAUUGAGGCUCAAGAUGACCAGGCACAUGAUCACCAUCAAAGUGGUAGUCCUCUUUCCCUCCAUUGCCUCCUCUUAGCUUGCUGCUACCUUCCUUGGUUACCUAGCUAAGUUUAUUGGUUUUGUGUUGAGAGGUGUGAUUCUUGAAUGGACGUUGCCGGCGGCAAUUUAUAGGCAGCUGAGCUAUGUGAUGAUAUGGACUAGGUGCAAAUGGGUGGUUAAUGGCAAGGAAAGGGGCGUCAGACAAAGCCCAAUGGCAACUGCUGACAUGCGAUUAAAUUCAGAUCCACAUCCGGCCAUUCAAUAAUACGGUUGGAGUUGUGGCACAGAUAUAUUAUUGCAUGAUCAUCAAGAUAAGAUCGUACAGUGACUGAGUGAGACAAUAAAUAGCCAAGUAAACUAUUUUAUCCUGCUGCAAGCUGCAUUCAUAAGUUUAUUUCACCUUUGAUCACAAUACUCUUCACACACGUACGUCUCAGGGAGAUCUCACUUCCGCUGGACUGCUCACUUCCGCUGUCGUCGGUACUGCCAAAGACAUAAGCUCACAUCUGCUAUUGCGGAGCAGGCCAAUUUGCUGCGGAACUUCGGCGACGACCUGAAGGACAUGAACUCGGUGCUGGAGUCCAUCUCAGCAGCGCUCUAGGACGCUGACACCGGUAGAAAAACGACCUUCCAUCGUCAACAAAAAUCCCGGUAGCUUUUUUACUCGGUACUAAAGAGGUUUUAAUCUCGUGCAAACACCUUUAGUCCAGAUUGCUAUUACCACGCAACCCGGACUAAAGCGUCCCCCGCGAGUUAGUAUAUAAGGAUUGCAUCCUUUACUCAGUCAGAUAUAAUAUGUAGGUGAGAUGGUAAGGAAGCUAUGCGUGAGGCUUCAGGUUGUGGGUUCGAAUCCAAGUGGGUGCAGCUGUGGCUUAAGCGGCUGAGGCACGCCGCCAUAGACAUCUCAGAUUUGCUCGAAGACUACCAAGACACUAGUGAACCCUUAACAGUAAAGGUGAGUACUUAUGAAUGUCAGCAUCCAUGUUGUCCAUGCUUCCAAUGUAAUAACAAGAUGGACUACUCUUCCUAGCGGACUCUUCACAACCACUCGUAAAGCUAUGCGUUUCUCAAUGCAAUUUCGUAGAAGCCAAUCGAUCCAACCAAGUGACUAAAUCAUUCGUCCUUUCCAAUGAUGUGCAUCAGGUUUUCUAUAUGAAGGGCAUGUCUAGCAAACCUAAGAUUUCAGAAGAAAAAGAAAAAUCAUUGGAGCCAAAGAGCCACAUAGUUCUUCUAGGAAAAAAAUCAUGGGAGUCGAGAACAUAUCAAACCAAUCAGGGGAUUAUGGUCAGCUUAAUGGCAUGCCUCCAUUCGAUGUCGAAGUUCACCCAAGCAUCAUGUUAGCCAAACAUCAAAUGUUCGUGCGUUGUUACGGUAAAGAUCAAUUGUGUUUUUUAAACUCUUGGAAUUUUUUUAUCUAAGUUUUUAUUUACACUUAUUGGAUGUCUACACAUUUGCUAGAAAACUAAAAUAAUUUGGACUUAAUUAUUUCUUUCAACUGAAGUACUCACUAAAUUUCUACCUUUUUAUUUAAGCAAGAGAGUUGCUAAAAAAAAUGGAUACGUAACCAUGUUGUAUCAUACAAAGUAACCACGUUUCACAUAUAGUCCGGCUUAGCAAACACCAUUGUUUUCUGAACAUAGCGUACAUGAGUUAACAGACAUGGAUUUAUUUCUAUUGCAAGUAGCAUAGCGUACAACCUGCCUGCACCGAUGCAGCUCAAUAUGCGAUAAUUUUUAUCUUCCCAUGUAAUUUUUCUACUCUAGUACAUAUUGAACUCCACAUUAAUGUCAUGUUCUUUCGCGCCCCAGAAGGUUCCUAAAGUUUGGAAACUUAAUAGAUAGCCAGAAUUUUUUUUAAAGAUAUUUAUAUGGAUACUUGUAUGUUCUUUCCAAACUAACAAUAUUGUUUACCAAUAUCAGAAGGAAUAUGGUUAGGAGCCAUUGCCGCAUAUGGCAGGUGAUGGUAGAUGGCGUAUGGGGUUUCGUUAAUUUAAUGGUAUAAUAAGCUGAAAUACAUUUUCUAUUUGCAAAUGAAUCAUAGCUGAAAUUGGUGGGAUUGUUUUUUCGCCGGUUUAGCAUCCUGUGCACCAGUUCAACCGGAGGGAAGCUGUUUUUUUUCUUUGGUUUUCCACCGGUUCACCGAGACCGAUGACAAUUUUAUGGCAGAAUCAUUACUUGUUUUACUAUUAGGUGAAGAUUUUAGCGUUUAGGUAUCUCACAUUAAACGCAACUUCAACAAUCUAUUUCUAGUGUAUAAUGUAGGAGACCCCGUAAAGAGUCUACACACACAUAUAUGUUGACUAUGAAUGUAAGUUUGUUGGUUUUAUGUAUGUUCGUUUGGAGUUUAUAUAAAUUUUACAUUUUAUAGUUUUGUGUAUAUGACGAAGAUCCAUGACUUGCAUUAAUUUAGCCUUUCUUCCAACAACUCUUAUGCAUGAUGUUUCUAGGCGAGCGUACUGGUUGCAAUUUUGGUCCCCGAUAUAGUGUGAGGACUUAAGGGACACGUGCAGGUCGUAACCUUAGAUAUUUUUGCUGAGAAUGGAUGAAGAAGCAAUAAUAUACUUUGCUUCUGAUUUUCUCCAUGUCAUUUGCUUACUCUUAUCCCUUUUAUUUAUCAUUAUAAGAUGAAAAUAUUGUAAAAACUUGGCUACGUGCGGUCGCAGAAGCUAGAGACUAAAGCGUCCCCCACGAGUUACUAUAUAAAAGGAUUGCAUCCUCUACUCAGUCAUAUGUACUGUGUAGGUGAGAUGGUAAGGAAGCUAUGUGUGAGGCUUGAGGUUGUAGGUUCGAAUCCCACGCACCGCGUGCGCAUGCGCAUAUUUUGCGUGAAAAAUCGCAUGACUUGUGGUCGGCCAAGGAGAAGUGCGUGCGGCUGAGGCACGCCGCCAUAGACAUCUCGGAUUUGCUCCAAGACUACCAAGACACUAGCGAACCCUUAACGGCAAAGUUGAGUACUUACGCGUGUUAGCAUCUAUGUUGUCCAUGCUUCCAAUGCAAUAACAAGAAGGGCUACUCAUCCUAGCGGAUUCUUCACAACCACUCGUAAAGCUAUGCGUUUCUCAAUGCAAUUUCGUAGAUGUCAAUCGAUCCAACCAAGCGACUGAAUCAUUCGUCCUUGCUAAUGAUGUGCAUCAGGUUUUCUAUAUGAAGAACAUGUCUAGCAAAUCCAAGAUUUCAGAAGAAAAAUAAAAAUCAUGAGAACCAAAGCACCACGUAGUUCUUCCAGGUAAAAAAAACAAUCAUCCACUGGGAUGACACACAGUAGCGAUCCAAAACGUCCAUAUUAAGACUUUUUGAUAGCAGAAAAAACAUGAAAAUGUCUAAUAUUUGUAGUAUUAAAAGGAAAAAUAAUAUAUUCACUUGACCUUUUUUUCGUAGCAACGCACCGGUGCGUAGUCAGACUUAGGCCACGUUUGGAUACUCCCUACUAAAGUUUAGCACCUGUCACAUAGGAUGUUUGGAUACUAAUUAGGAGUAUUAAACAUAGGCUAAUUAUAAAACUAAUUGAACAGAUGGAGUCUAAUUUGCGAGACGAAUCUAUUAAGCCUAACUAGUCCAUGAUUUGACAAUGUGGUGCUACAGUAACCAUUUGCUAAUGGUGGAUUAAUUAGGCUUAAUAGAUUCGUCUCGCGAAUUAACAUAGGGUUCUGCAAUUAAUUUUAUAAUUAGCUCAUGUCUAGUCCUUCUAAUUAGCAUCCGAACAUCUGAUAUGAUACUGCUAAAGUUUAUCACCUAGUAUCCAAAUACCCCCUUAAUGCACGAUGCCUGUGCAUCCACUGGGCCUACCCUCGUGGAUCACGCGCUCGUGGAUCACGCGCACCAUGACAUGGCUCAUUAGCUAGUCGUGCUAAUCCUUACCACCAAAUUAAAAACUAGCAUGUGUUGUGUGUUUGUGACCCUAAACGACUACCACCUUCCCGAGUCCACCGGAGUUGCCAGUUCACCACUAAGCUGACUCUCCGAGCUUCAUGUCACUGUCACCGCUCCAAAGACCUAGAUCGGUUCGCUGUGCACCCCGCUUCGUCCUGAGCUAAAUCCCAUCACGAAAGGUGACCGGAUGCUCGUUUUCGAGCGAAUUCUAGCGAGAUUGCCACCACCUUUCCCCUUCCAGCCGAUCGCAGCUGUCUGAUCACAAACCGACAGCCCAGAUCGGAUUUGACCAGGUCAAUACCGGUCAAGCCGAGAUGCAUGCUGCUUUUGCAAGAAGGCCCCUAUUUUUCUCUCUUUUUGCACUUGAGGUCCUACGCAGUUCAAAAGUAAUUAGAUCUAGAUCCUUUUUCUUCUGUUUUAGCCCUGUUCUUUUAUAAAAUCCCACCCGCCAUCCUGUUUGGUAUUUUGACAUGUUAGACCUUCUAUUUAUAUGUUUAAUUAGGUUUUAGCCCUUGGUUUCUUUAAGUUUAGCUCUUGGAAGUUUAGUUUUCUCGCAGUUAAGCCCCUGAACCUUGUUUAGUUCAUAUCUUUAGCGUUUUAAAUCCGUUUUAAGAGAUUCUUACGCCCAUAAGUUCGUGUUGAUGCAUAGAUUAGUUGACUUAUACGGACCUUGCUGAUUCAGCUCCUUCAUUGUGCUUCAGAUCUCGCUAGUGAAGAAUAAUGGAUGGGCUUUGGUUGAGCUUGUAGAUCGACCUGCAGUUGCAGUGAAUGUGCUGAGGACUGGCGGUACCAAUAAUGGGAGGCCGCUGCUCUGCUUGCUACCAAGGCCUGCGACGCUUGGACGCCAUUCAGAGUGCAUAAUUUCCAAGGAUCUCAAGGGCUCCACACCACGUUCCAAGUGUUUUUUCUUUGCCGAGUGUUUUUAGCUCGGCACUUGGCAAAGAGCUUGUUUGCCGAGUGUCCGAAAAAAACACUUGGCAAAGAGAAAACACUCGGCAAAUUUGAUGUUUCCCGUAGUGAUGUACUAUUCAAACUUGAACUGGGAUGCAGGCUUCAGUACCAAAGAGAGCUCUGGGCGCGGGUGAGCAGUGAGCUGGCCGGGCAGGGAGCUCCAAAGCGACAGCAACAAAGAGAGAAAUGCUAAGAGUAAGAACGACACACGAGGUCACUUCACAUAGAUAAUAGCAGUACGAACCAUACAAUAUCCUCUCUCAGUUUCACUCCGCCUCACACACGGCUAGCACACCAUGCAUGCCGAUUUCAUAUUAUUAAUAUUAUUUUUUGGAUGGUUGUUGAAACUAUAUAUAUAGUUAGUCCAAUCUCACGUUUCCGAUUAUAAAAAUCAACGUAAAGAGAUCGGUAGGGAGAGCCGGCAUAAUGAAGCCGACGCGUGUAAUAAGCACCAGAGCCGGCAUUUAUACAAACUGGUACGAAUAGUAAAAAACUAGAAUUUAUAAAUAAAAAAAUGAUUUGCACAUCUAUGCAAUAAUUAGGGGUUAGUGGCAGGUCUAGAGAGAUAUCUCAUCAUUAUAUCCGGUUUAACGAGGAUAAAAAAGAGUGUAUUUUCCACUCAUCAUGUUGUCUUUUCGCAGCGGUACCACUUUUCGUGUGUUGUAUCGGUCCCCUAAUACGGAGUCUCCGAGGCCCGAGAAAAUAAGGAAAGUGAUAGUAGCCCAGAAAUCGGCCAAGUUUCUUUCCCCUUUGGCUUUCCUACUAGGAUUCAGAAUCCUCUUUCGCAUGACAAUCUUAAUUAUCUCCCAUACUCCAAAACUCACAAAAACAUCAAGAGUCCGCUGAGAAUAAAUUUAAGUAAAAAACAUGCACACACAGAUAAUAAUAAUAAUCAUGUUUCCAUAAAAUUGCUAAGUCCAGAGAUAAUACAUAAACAUAGUAGACUGUUCAUGACACAUAUCACGGUGGACAGUGUUUGUGUCCUUAUUACAAGCAACGAGAGAUGCUCGUCACCAACACGCGCGCGCACAGAUGCACGACAUACAUAUAGUAGAGACCAACAGAUGGUCGUCCCAUAUGGUGAACAAUUUAUUGGAGAUAAAUAUUAACGUAACUUGGCCAUAGCUUGAAGCAUAGCAACAUAUGCCUAUGAGUGGCAUUCAUGCUAUCGUUUUAGGCUUGUCCAGCUCCUUCCAUCUUAGCAAGCACUUCCAUUUCUACCAUCUUAGCAGCAACUGUCAAAUUGAGAUACGGAAAUCCCAUUAGCGCAUGAGUUAAUUUUGCAGUGGAAAUAGAGUACAAGAUGUCUUCAUGAUGUAAGUAAUAUGCCUGAAGUUGUGAGAUGGGAAGUGAAGUCAACAAAUUACAUUAACGGAAAUGCAUGGAAGGCCACACAUACGUAUUAGUCCAUGAUAUGCUACAAAGCUUGUAUGUACAUAUAGCAAAUUAAAUGCAUUAAUUGAAUAGAGUGUGUUUAGUGAAUUUACCAGAAUCGUCCAGAAAACAUGGGAAACAGCAAGUGUUCUUGCAGACUGCGUCGGAGGCACCCGCACGAAUACAAAGCUGACAACAUAGUUUUGCCUGGGCGGAUGCGCAGCAGCCGCACUCCGCCGCGGUGGGGUUAACAUUGAGGCUCAAGAUGACCAGGCACAUGAUCACCAUCAAAGUGGUAGUCCUCUUUCCCUCCAUUGCCUCCUCUUAGCUUGCUGCUACCUUCCUUGGUUACCUAGCUAAGUUUAUUGGUUUUGUGUUGAGAGGUGUGAUUCUUGAAUGGACGUUGCCGGCGGCAAUUUAUAGGCAGCUGAGCUAUGUGAUGAUAUGGACUAGGUGCAAAUGGGUGGUUAAUGGCAAGGAAAGGGGCGUCAGACAAAGCCCAAUGGCAACUGCUGACAUGCGAUUAAAUUCAGAUCCACAUCCGGCCAUUCAAUAAUACGGUUGGAGUUGUGGCACAGAUAUAUUAUUGCAUGAUCAUCAAGAUAAGAUCGUACAGUGACUGAGUGAGACAAUAAAUAGCCAAGUAAACUAUUUUAUCCUGCUGCAAGCUGCAUUCAUAAGUUUAUUUCACCUUUGAUCACAAUACUCUUCACACACGUACGUCUCAGGGAGAUCUCACUUCCGCUGGACUGCUCACUUCCGCUGUCGUCGGUACUGCCAAAGACAUAAGCUCACAUCUGCUAUUGCGGAGCAGGCCAAUUUGCUGCGGAACUUCGGCGACGACCUGAAGGACAUGAACUCGGUGCUGGAGUCCAUCUCAGCAGCGCUCUAGGACGCUGACACCGGUAGAAAAACGACCUUCCAUCGUCAACAAAAAUCCCGGUAGCUUUUUUACUCGGUACUAAAGAGGUUUUAAUCUCGUGCAAACACCUUUAGUCCGGAUUGCUGUUACCACGCAACCCGAACUAAAGCGUCCCCCACGAGUUACUAUAUAAGGAUUGCAUCCUUUACUCAGUCAGAUAUAAUGUGUAGGUGAGAUGGUAAGGAAGCUAUACGUGAGGCUUCAGGUUGUGGGUUCGAAUCCAAGGAGAAGUGGGUGCAGCUGUGGCUUAAGCGGCUGAGGCACGCCGCCAUAGACAUCUCAGAUUUGCUCGAAGACUACCAAGACACUAGUGAACCCUUAACAGUAAAGGUGAGUACUUAUGAAUGUCAGCAUCCAUGUUGUCCAUGCUUCCAAUGUAAUAACAAGAUGGACUACUCUUCCUAGCGGACUCUUCACAACCACUCGUAAAGCUAUACGUUUCUCAAUGCAAUUUCGUAGAAGCCAAUCGAUCCAACCAAGUGACUAAAUCAUUCAUCCUUUCCAAUGAUGUGCAUCAGGUUUUCUACAUGAAGGGCAUCUCUAGCAAACCCAAGAUUUCAGAAGAAAAAGAAAAAUCAUUGGAGCCAAAGAGCCACAUAGUUCUUCCAGGAAAAAAAAAUCAUGGGAGUCGAGAACAAAUCAAACCAAUCAGAGGAUUAUGGUCAGCUUAAUGGCAUGCCUCCAUUCGAUGUCGAAGUUCACCCAAGCAUCAUGUUAGCCAAACAUCAAAUGUUCGUGCGUUGUUACGGUAAAGAUCAAUUGUGUUUUUUAAACUCAUGGAAUUUUUUUUCUAAGUUUUUAUUACACUUAUUGGAUGUCUACACAUUUGCUAGAAAACCAAAAUAAUUUGGACUUAAUUAUUUCUUUCAACUGAAGUACUCACUAAAUUUCUACCUUUUUAUUUAAGCAAGAGAGUUGCUAAAAAAAAUGGAUACAUAACCAUGUUGUAUCGUACAAAGCAACCACAUUUCACAUAUAGUCCGGCUUACCAAACACCAUUUUUUACUGAACAUAGCGUACAUGAGUUAAGAGACAUGGAUUUAUUUCUAUUGCAAGUAGCAUAGCGUACAACCUGCCUGCACCGAUGCAGCUCAAUAUGCGAUAAUUUUUAUCUUCCCAUGUAAUUUUUCUACUCUAGUACAUAUUGAACUCCACAUUAAUGUCAUGUUCUUUGGCGCCCCAGACGGUUCCUAAAGUUUGGAAACAAAAUAGAUAGCCAGAAAUUUUUUUAAAAAAUAUUUAUAUGGAUAUUUGUAUGUUCUUUGCAAACUAACAAUAUUGUUUACCAAUAUCAAAAGGAAUAUGGCUAGGAGCCAUUGCCGCAUAUGGCAGGUGAUGGUAGAUGGCGUAUGGGAUUUCGUUAAUUUAAUGGUAUAAUAAGCUGAAAUACAUUUUCUAUUUGCAAAUGAAUCAUAGCUGAAAGUGGUGAGAUUGUUUUUUCGCCGGUUUAGCAUCCUGUGCACCGGUUCAACUGGAGGGAAGCGGUUCACCGAGACGGAUGACAAUUUUACGGCAGAAUCAUUACUUGUUUUAUUAUUAGGUGAAGAUUUUAGCUUUUAGGUAUCUCACAUUAACAAUCUGUUUCUAGUGUAUAAUGUAGGAGACCCGUAAAGAGUCUACACACACAUAUAUAUGUUGACUAUGAAUGUAAGUUUGUUGGUUUUAUGUAUGUUCAUUUGGAGUUUAUAUAAAUUUUACAUUUUAUAGUUUUGUGUAUAUGACGAAGAUCCAUGACUUGCAUUAAUUUAACCUUUCUUCCAACAACUCUUAUGCAUGCUGUUUCUAGGGGAGCGCACUGGUUGCAAUUUUGGUCCCCGAUAUAGCAUGAGGACUUAAGGGAGACGGGCACGUCGUAACCUUAGAUAUUUUUGCAAGAAGCAAAUUAUACUUUGCUUUUGAUUUUCUCCAUGCCAUUUGCUGACUCUUAUCCCUUUUAUUUAUCAUUAUAAGAUGAAAAUAUUGUAAAAACUUGGUUACGUGCGGUCGCAGAAGCUAGAGACUAUUUCUUUUUUUAAAAAUACGCAAGAGGGAGAAACUUGGUAACAGCUAGACAGUGAAGAUCGCAUUUCAUAAGAAAGAUGGUGCACGUUCUUGUUUGGCUGUUAACGAAAUGACUUCGUUUCACCACACCACCAGAGAGCCCCAUUGCACUUGCAGCAAAAGCGUGGAGCCGCUUUCAACCAGCGUGCAAUAAUGCAGUCCCGCGUGUCUUGGUCUUACAGGAUAUUUGGUUCUUUAGUCCGGACUAAAAUUCAUGUCGCAUAGAAUAUUCAGAUGUUAAAUAGGAGGACUAAACAUGAGCUAAUUAUAAAAAUAAUUACACAAAUGGAGGCUAAUUCCCAAGACAAAUCUAUUAAGUCUAAUUAAUCCAUCAUUAGCACAUGUUUACCGUAGCACCGUAUUGUCAAAUCAUGGACUAAUUAGGCUUAAUAAAUUCGUCUCGCAAGUUAGUCUCCAUCUAUACAAUUUGUUUUAUAAUUAGUCAAUGUUUAAUACUCUAUCUAAACAUUCAAUGUGACUGAAAUUUUAGGAGGUCCUAAAGAACCAAACACCCCUUAGUCUCCGCCUGAACUAUAGCAGGUGCUGGCAGCGGUAGCAGGGUCGUCCAUUAUAUCUAUGGAUGGAAAUGAUCUGAUUCGGAUGGAAUCGAAUUCGAAUAGCACUUUUUACCACAUACUAAUCUGAAUUGGAUGUUCUCGAAUGUGAAUGCAAAACGGAUAGUUCAAAUUUGAAUACUUUGCGGAUUUUUGCAUAAUAUUAAUCGAAGAGAAUUUGUUAAAUUUAGCCGAGACAUAAAUUUUUCUAAAUUCAAAUACUUUGCAGAUUUUCGAAUGCAAAUUUUUUCAUACGAUCUCGGUUGAAUACAAACUUUAUAUCAAAGUUGUAUAUUUAGAUUAUAUAUAAAACUUUGUAGUUGACCUCCUUUUCAUUUAAAAUUUUUUAAUAGCUCAAAACAUUAUUCUAAGCUUUCUAAUUUCAAAAUCUUGAAUUUUAAAUUUUUCAAACGACCUCGGAUGCAAACAAGCUCUAUAUCAAAGUGCUUAAUGAGAUAUAAAAUUUUGUAGUUGACAAGUUUUUUAGUUGAAAACAUUUAGUUAUCACAAACAUACAAGUUCUUCAUUUGAUGUCGAGGAUUGGAAGUGUUGAGUUUGAAGAAUAUAUUCUUUGAUUACAAACUUUUCCAUAUGAUCUUGGAUGAAUACGAACUUUAUUUCAAAGUUGCAAAUUUAGAUUAGACCAAAAACAGUAUAGUUUACAAUUUUUUCAUUCAAAAUUAUUUAGUAGCUCAAAAUGUUAUUCUAAACUCUCUAAUUUUGAAAUCUUGAAUUUUAAAAUUUUCAAAUGACCUCGGAUGCAAACAAGCUCUAUAUCGAAGUGGUAGUUCUUAAUGAGAUAUAAAAUUUUGUAGUUCCAUCUGAGAUCAUUUAACAGUCACAAAUAUACAAGUUUUUCAUAUGAUGCUAAGGAUCAGAAAGAUUAAGUUUGAAGGCUGUAUUUUUUUAAUACAAAUUUUUGCAUACGAUCUCGGAUGAAUACAAACUUUAUAUCAAAAUUGUAGAGCUCGAUGAGAAUUUAAACUUUGUAGUUGAUAUAUUUUUCAUUCGAGAAUGUUUAGUGGUCCAAACAUGUAUUAUAAGUUCAGAGAAGAAACACACAAUCGGCCACGUCAUCAAUUGACAACUUCCAAACUGAGCAUUCCUAUUGGUUCACACCUUUCCCUUUCAACUCGUCAAGCUUAUCUCCUCCCACUCCUCCAUCGUUCACUCCCCCUUCCCCUUCCUCUCUCCCUCCCUCCCUCCGCUCCAGCAGUGGCAGCCCGACCUGCCUCCUAGGACGGUGGUGUGCGGGGCUCGGGCAUCCCUGGCCUCUAGUGGCGUGGCAGGGCGGCCUCCAGCAGCGAUGGCGGAACUCGGCCUCCGGUGGCGCACAGGCAGCGCAGCCUACCUGGUCAAAGGCGGCGCAACAGGGCGACCUCCCCAGCCUCCGGCGGCGCGCAGGGCAUCCAUGACCUCCCCGGCCUCCCUUGCCAGAGGUGGUGCGCGGGGCUGCGCCGACCUCCCCAACCAGAGGUGGCAAGGCCCCAGCUUACGGCGGCGCGUGGCUCCCCAGCUAGGGUGUGGUGGGGCGGCGGCAAGUCAGGCGUGGCCGCGUGGGGGUGGGGGGAGGGGGUUGGGCUGGGCGGAUUCAGAUAGUAUCCAUUUAACCAUCCGAAAUGUGGAUAUCCGUUUAACAAUCCGUUUAGCAAAACCGAAUUUGGAUACUUCCACUUAAGUAUCCAACUAGGAUUCGAAUGCGGAUGGUCCUACCAUAUUGUUAUUUCAGCGGAUACGAAUAUGGGAUAAUUCGAAUAACGACUUACCCAUCCCUGAUUAUAUCCGUGUAAAUAAAUAAUUGCGGCAGCAGGUUCCCGUCGCCACGCCCCCGUCAAACCAAACAAUUGCUUGCGCGACACCGUGUUACUAGAUCUUGUACAGUACUCCCUCCGUUGCAGUACUCCCUAAUGAAAGUUGAGAAUCGAUCGACAACCACGGCUAGUUGCUAUGCACUCGAUCAGAUGGUCCAGGCGCCCGCUGGUAAUCAGGUCGUGGUUCACGCGCAUCAGGCCAGCUAUGACGUUGCCAGCAGUGCUCAGUACACAAAUCUAGCUAUCAGUCGGAUCCAAUUGGGCAGGCAUUUGCACUGUGGUUGUGUUUGAACCUGUAGAUGUCGUUGUCAUUAUCAGGCACCAUACAUCCUCUCUCAGAGGGUGUUUCACCCCCUAAACUUUAGCCCCUCUCACAUCGAAUGUUUUAGAUACUAAUUAGGAAUAUUAAACAUAGAAAAUUUACUAAACCCAUUACAUGGAUGGAGGGUAAACGGCGAGACAAAUCUAUUAAAUCUAAUUAGUCCAUGAUUUGACAAUGUGCUGCUAUAGUAACUAUUUGCUAAUGAUGGAUUAAUUAGACUUAAUAGAUUUUUCUUGCUGUUUAGCCUCCGUCUGUGCAAUUAGUUUUAUAAUUAAUUCAUAUUUAGUCCUCCUAAUUAGUCUCCGAAUAUUUGAUGUGACACGGACUAAACUUUAGAUAGCACACCAGGGACCGACACCAUGCAUGCUGAUUUCAUAUCAUAAUUAAGGAAAGUGAUAUCAUAAUUAAGGAAAGUGGUAGCAUCCAAGAAAUCGAUCAUGUUUCUUCCCCCUUUGGCUUUCCUACUAGGAUUUGGAUAGCGGGCCUUCCUACUAGGAUUUGGAAUCCGCUAUCGCAUGACUAUCUUAAUUAUGUCCCAUAGUCCAAAACUCACAAAACAUCAAAAAUCCAUCGAGAAUAAAUUAAGUAAAAAACAUGCGCACACAGAUAAUAAUAAUAAUAAUCAUGUUUCAAUAAAAUUGCUAAGAUUAGAGAUAGUACAUAAACAUAUUAGAUUGUUCGUGACACAUAUCAUGGUGGAUAGUGUCUGUGUCCUUAUUACAAGCAGCGAUAGAUGCUUGUCACCACACACACGCACGCACAGAUGCACGACAUACAUAUAGUUGAGACCAACGGAUGGACGUCCCAUAGGGUGAAUAAUUUAUUGGAGAUAAAUAUUAACAUAACUUGGCCAUAGCUUGAAGCAUAGCAACAUAUGCUUAUGAAUGGCAUUCAUGCGGGUAGCAAUGCUAUCAUAUGCUUUUAGGCUUGUCCUUAGCUUCUUCCAUCUUAUAGCAAACACUGCCAUUUCUUCCAUCUUAGCAGCAACUGUCAAAUUAAUUGAGAUAUGGAAAUCCCAUUAGCGCAUGAGUUAAUUUUGCAGUGGAAAUAGAGUAGAAGAUGUCUUCAUAAUGUAAGUAAUAUGACUCUGACAUAGGGAGUGAAGUCAACAAAUUACAUUAACGGAAAUGCAUGGAAGGCCACGCAUAUGUAUUAGUCCGAUAUGCUACAAAGCUUGUAUGUACAUAUAAUAAAUUAAAUGCAUUGAAUAGAGUGAUUUUAGUGAAUUUACCUAAAUCGGAUUAAAAAACAUGGGAAACAACAAGUGUUCUUGUAGGGCUUUGUUUAGUUCCCAAAUUGGGAGUAGCAAAGUUUGCAUUUUACCAUAAAUGCGCAACUAUAGCAUGUAGCAUUUUGUUUGUAUUUGUGAAUUAUUAUCCAAACAUUGACUAAUUAGGCUCAAAAGAUUCAUCUCGCAAAGUACAACAAAACUGUGCAAUUAGUUUUUGAUUUCGUCUACAUUUAGUACUCCGUGCAUGUACCGCAAGUUUGAUGUGAUGGGGAAUCUUGCUUUUCAAUAGUGACAAAGUUGGGAUUUCGGGGGGAAGGCCUGUGUCGGAGCCACAUGCAAGAAUGGCUGACAUUGAGGCUCAGACAAAGCCCAAUGGCAACUGCUGACAUGCGAUUAAAUUUAGAUAUCCACAUCCAGCCAUUCACAUUUAUGAGAUAUGGACACGGUGCAAAUGGGUGGGGUCCUGAUAUGGAGGUGCGAAUGGCUGUCUACUUGUAUAGUGUAGCUCCAAUGUACGUAUAUGUAUCUUAUGCAUGUAUACAGUUGCACAAACUCUGAACCAACUCUUCAUAACAGGUCUUUGUUACCAAGUAACUUUACUUUUGCACGUUUCAGCCGAGAGGUAGAAGAGAAUAUUUUUGCAUUUUCCAUGUGCGUCAGUGGUAGAGAACUAGGAAUUAGUUCCGGAUGGUAGGGCACAAAUCUUCCAAACAACUAUCCGAAAUUAAGCAAUCGAGAUAAAGGGUGCCAUCUAUUCUCUCCGAAAAACACAGGUACCAAAAAGAAGAAGAGAAGAGGGAGGGCCUCCCGUUAAGGCCCGCUCGGGGUCUCCAUCCCACCACGCGCCCUCCCAACCCAAAGCCCAUCGUUUUCCCUCCGUCCCUCCCCUCUCCAUUGCCGCCGCCGCUCCCCUCAUCCGAGCUCGAUACGGGUGGUCGGCGGCCCCUCCUCUCCGCUCCCGCCCCCGGCCUCCCUUUGACCGCCGGGCGCCGGCAUCACUGCCGCGGCCAACCCCAGGGCGCAGCGCGUGCCUCUAUUUCUCUCCCCCGUUCAAGGGCCCUUUGAUGGCGACGAGCACCCACCCACCAGGUAUGCCCUCCCCUUCUCUUCCUAACCCUAAUAUAUUCGGAUCUCACCCAGUCACAAUAUAUUACCUAAUAGCUUCGAUUUUGUUUGCAAAAAUCAUCACGUGCGCACCCAUGUCCGCUAGAUUCUUGCGCCUGAUCCUGUGCUGCUAUGGUUUGGGCGGGGUAGACUAGUUGAUUCGUGCACUUUUGGGUGCUUGUAGUGCUAGGUUUUGGAGGGGGAUAGCCCAGUUGAUUCCUCCGUUUUGGGUGCUCAUGGUGAUAGGAUUUGGAUGGGGAUAGCCCCAAUGAUUCGUGCGCCUUUGGGUGCUGGGGAUAGUUUUGGGUGCCUGGAUAGUCCAGUUUCAAUGUCAGUAUAUGCGUAUUUUGGGGAGAAUUUUGUUUUGGGUGGUUCUGGUGCUAGAGUUUCUGAUGCUUAGUAGCCCAGUUUCAAUCAAAUUCCCCCAUGGGUCGUGCACUACGGGAAACAAGAAAAUUGCCGAGUGUAUUUUUUUUGUCGAGUGUUUUUUUUCGAGCACUCAGCAAACAAGCUCUUCGCCGAGUGCCAAGUCAAAAACACUCGGCAAAAAAAAACACUCGGCAAAUCGGGGCUUUGCCGAGUGUCAAAUAAAAAACACUCGGCAAAGAAGGGGGUUUGCCGAGUGUUAAAAAAAACACUCGGCAAACAGGAGGGUUUGCCUAGUGUUUUUUUGACACUCGGCAAAAAAAUAAUUGUUUUUCCUCUUUUCACCUUGAAAUUUUUUCUACUCCCCACAUACAACACGUGGUACUCCAUGUUAAAAUUUGGUAUAUUUUUGGAUUUAUUUGCUAUAUUUAUUUAAUUAAUUGCAUUACAAGGAAAUUUUUGGUAUAAGUCAAAUUUGAACUGCAAGUGAUUCAAAUUGUGGAACAAAAUGAGUAGAAAAAUGAUAUUCAUGUUAUUUGGCUCAAUUUGAGACCUGACCCAUGAAAUGAAAAGAAAUUUCGAACAUCUUGUUCAGGAAACACGACAAUGAACAUGUGGCGGUAGUAUUUUUAAAUUGUAAAAAAAACAAGCAAAGUCUGAAAAUCAUGAGAUUUGUAGUUAUGUGAUGAUAUAAUACGUGGAAGCUGUGGAAAAAAAUUGGAAAGGUUUUGCACAUUUCAUCAUGUACGAUGAUUACAAACCGAAGCAUAUCAGAAGAAGAAUAGUAACUUUGAGAAGGAUUCGAUAAAAUUUAGAGUCGAAGUGACGGUCGAGUUCGGUUUGACUACAAAACUUUUUGUAUAGUCAGUAGAGAACAUAUCUUAUUUCGUGUGAAAAUUUGGUAUUUUUUGAAACUGUUGGAUAUUUUUAAUUUUUUUUUAAAAAAACUUUGCCGAGUGUCCUAGGGUAGACACUCGGCAAAGAAAAACUUUACCGAGUGCCCGCCUAGGACACUCAGCGAACCUUUUUUUAAACCUACCGGCUCCGGCCGGCCCAGCCCACAAACACCACCCGCCCCCCGCCCCCGCGCCUUCUUCCUCACGCCGCCCCCGCCCCCCACCCGUGCCUCCGGACCGCCCCCUCCUCCCCCUGGCCUCCCCUCACGCCGCCCCCCUCCUCCCCUAGCUCCCUCCACCGGCGGCCCUCCCUCCCCCGGCGCACAUCCUCCACUCCUCCUCCCCUUCCCUUCCCUCCCCUCCCCUCCCCUCUUCCUCCCCUGGCCGGAUCUGGCGCCCCUAGCUCCCCUUUCUUCCGCGGCCAGAUCUGGCGCCCUCCCGGCGGCGGGUCGUGGCGAUCGGGGCGGCGGCGGCGGAUCAGGCCGCGGGGCGGCGGCGGCGGCGGGUCGUGGCUACCGGGGCGGCGCCCUGCCCCUCCCCUCCCUCUCCAUCUCCGGCUGCCGUCCACCCCCUCCCCGGAUCCGCCCCCCUCCCCUCCGCGCGGCCAGCCCCUCCUCCCUCUCCGGCCGCCGCCCCGGCCCCUCCUCUCCCUUUCUCCGGCCACCGCCCCGCCCAUCUUCUCUGGAUCCGGCCGGAUCCGGCCGCCGCACAGCCCCUCCUCCCCGGAUCCGGUGGGCGCGGACUUCGUGGUGGUGGCGCCGGAUCCCUCCCCUCCCUCUCCAGAUAACUCCCUCCACUCCUCCGCUCUUCCCCUCUCUCGCGCGGCGGCCUCUCUCCGGCCGCCGCCCCGCCCCUCUCCCCGGAUCCGGGGGGGGGGGGACUCCGCCCCUCUGCCCCGGAUCCAGCUCCCCGACCCGCGAGUGGGGCGAGCUUGCUCAUGCGGUCGACGUCGAGGCCAGGGUGUGGUGGAGGUGGUGGCCGGCGGGUGUGGUGGUGGUGGCGGCGGCGGGCAUGGCGGCGCGGAGGCAAGGCACGGCGGCCGGUGGGAGGCACGGGUGCAAGGCGUCGACGGCAGGAGGCAAGGCACGGCAGCAUGGGAGGUGGUGCUGUGGUGGUGGUGCUGGCGGUGGUGGCGGCGGCGGAGCAGGAUGUGGUGGUGGCGGAGGAUGUUUUUUUUUCAAAAAUUUGUUGCCGAGUGUUUUCUCGGCACUCGGCAAAGACUUUACCGAGUGCCCGACACAAAACACUCGGCAACUCAGUGUUUGCCGACUGAAAAAUUGCCGUGUGCCGUUUGCCGAGUGUUACACUCGGCAAACGGUUCGCCGAGGGUUUUUUGCCCUUCGCCGAGUGCCCCUAGCACUCGGCAAUUUCACUAUCUCCCGUAGUGGUGGCUGGACUUAUGGGGGGAUCAUUGAUGGGGGACUAGUUGGAUACUUUUUGGCUGUUUUGGGAGUCCUUGGCAGCGGCUUCUCAGGGCGUACGUAGCCCAUUGUAGAUUCCAGCCGAGAAGAUUAAGGAAUUGUGACUGCAACCAUGUUACUUUUCUAGGACUCUGUUUCUGAUAUUGUUCCCGCUGCAUCUUUUCAUCCCCAUGGUGAAUGUUGCUGUUGAUCUGUAGAUUGGAUUUGUUCCUCGGUAGCUUUAUUAGAUUUGUGCUGAAUGAUAAUCUCUGCCUGUGAUAUUUUUCUUCAUUGCGGAUGUGUGCCGAGUAUUAUCCCCUUUGUUCAUUCUGUUGGCUUUUUUUAUUGUCUCUGUACUCGGCUGUUCAGCUUGUGCAGCUAAUGAUCUAAUGUAUUUUGUCGUAACUAUGUAUUUUUCGGAUGUGUGCCGAGUAUUAUCCCCUUUGUUUAUUCUGUUGGCUUGCUUUCAUUGAUCUUAAGAUAACUGGUGCUAUAAAUUCACACUAGCUGAUGCACUUGCAAAUAGCUAUGUAAAUAUGAAAAGAAGUAUUUUUUUAUCCUUUUGUUUGUUUGGCAUCAUAUCUGUUUAAAUGGCAUAGCAAUAAGAAUUUUUUGUUUUUGGGGAAUCAUAUCUGCUUAAAUGGUAUAGAAAAUGCUGAGUGCACUGUCAAAUAGAUUUUCCAGCAGUCUGCUUUCAGUUGUUUUUGCAAAUCCUCACAGGCCAGUGAACUGACUUUGUUUUUACCACCCCAUGCCAUUUAAAUGACUAAAUCAGUCAGCCUAAUACUAUAUAUGGUCAUGCUAUGAUCUUAUUUCUUGAAGCUCUAUAGGUCAACCCAUAAGGGUAACUUAGUUUUUCCUAUUCUGGCUGGGGAAGUGGAUACGAUGGCUAUCCUUGGUAGAGUUAAAUACAUUGGCGGCUCUUAGCGCGCCAAUGUGGCACCACAAUAUCGAACAUAUGUAGAAACCCCCUUGUUUUUUCUCAUAUCCCUCUCUCUCAGCGUCCUCUUCUCUUCUUCUCCUCUGUCUCCUCCCCUCCCAUCGCGUGCUUUAUUGCGCCGCCGCCAUCCGCCUCCAUGUAUGAACACGUCGUUUGUCAUGAAGAAGCAGUUGAUGAGGCAAUCAAGCAUGUGGUGCACAAGGUUCUUCUGCUGGCCAAGUCCGAGUCGAACAGCCGCGCAUUCAUUGGGGAAGCACGCGCCAGGCAUCACCAGGCUCCUCGUGCCCCUACUCUGCUCCAAGGACUCGGUGCUUCGACGCGCUGCUUUCCCUGUCCGGCGAGCGGGGAUCGUUGGGAGAUGAUCGAUGGAGGAUGGAGCUGAUCCUCCUGUACACGGUGCCGGUGGGGAGCAGGGAGCUGCGGAGCAGGUCCACGGGCGGCGCCAUUACAGCAGGUGCAGGCUAAGGGUAAUGAGCAGAUCGAGGCGAUGGAGGAGGACCCGCACGAGGUGCAGCUUCUUCGCCUCCUGCGCAAAGUCAGCGCCCAAGCAGCCGCUGAGGGACAGGCCGAGGCUUAGCUCGAUCUCAUCCGACUAAAUGGUGGCUGCACUCCCACAGUCCCACUGGUGCUCCUCCCUUCUGUCCGAACCUGCCGAGGAAAUCCCUCGAUGCCAUGGGUCCCGGCUGGACGACUACUCCUCCCACAGAUUGACUGAGGAAGAAGAGCUUCUCAGUGUCCAAAAAUUCAGUUACACUGGAAACAGCAACCAAUUACGUUCUUCCGGCUCAGCCAAGCCCCAAUCUCCUUGCUUCUGUGCGCCCCUGCUAAAUAUUCCAGAAACCAAUCUGGUUAGUUGUUUUUUCACAUUUUCAGUGCAUGCCGGUGCUGCUGUGUGCGGCAUGCAUGGAGUUGUCGUGGGAGUGCACGGUGGCUUAGCUGGUGCGCCAGUGCGCGGGCACGAACACAACGGUGAAGAUGGCAGGGCCAUCUCAAAGCUCCUGAGCACCUGCACGCGUCGCUGAGCAGGACAUGCUGCGACGGUGGGCGAGCGCUGCUAACGCCCUGGGGAAGAGCAGUGGGUGCAGAGAGAGGGAGCGAGGGAGAGGGGUUCUUGUAUAUGUUUGCUAGCGUGGCACCGUUUACGGUGCCCGCCUAAGUGGCAUUCACGUGUCAUUCAUCCCAAAUGGUGUUGCAAGGUUGAACCUAUUGUGGGAGGCUUUUGGUUUCCCUUGACAGUAUCACCAGUGAUAUCACUGCGUUCUGGUUAUGUAUGAAACACUUGUCCUUUUAAAACCUUUCUGAAUUUAGAAACGAAUUUGAAACAUUACCCUCAUUUCCAUGUUUUUCUAUCUUUUGUCCCUGUAAAAUCAAACUAAAUUUGAAUUAUUAUGUUCAGAACUACAAGCUGAUUUACUUGUCCCAUUUGCUAAUAACAGGGCCUUGUGAUUUCUAAUGAACAUUGCAGAGCAUGUUAUAAAGCGUAUGCAUGAACACCAAGGGGAUGAAACCAUUGGUAUAUUUCUCACAACCUUUUGAACUUAUCAUUUAGCAUAUUUGUGUUCUAGUGUGACGUUUCAGCCACGAGACAUGAGAAAUGUUAGCUAUGGAUUUUGGUUAUUCAUCAUGGGUUCACAGAUUUGUUUUUCUCUAAAAGAAUUGGGAAGUAGCUUUCUUUCUGGGUAUAUGUGGGGAAAUGCAUAUGCAAUCUUUUAUUUAUUGAGGUGACUGUAAAAUUCUUGUCUGACUGAAUAUGCGAUUUCAACCUACAUGCUAUACUUAGGGAAAUUUGUGAAUCUCCUAAUGUCUGCUGCAUGGCAUGAAUGCAUAUUUUACUGGUCCAUAAUGUGAAGUUCUGUAUAUAAACUUCUCGUGUUGACCCUUUAGAACAUGCUAACUGGAGAGUUUUCUAGAGUAGUUAAACAAGAGAUUUAGUUAAAUCUGCACACAUAGGUGGGGCCUGGCAUACCCUAAGAAUCGGCCUAGCCGGUCAGCCCAUUAGUAAAAAAAAAAGCACCGCAGUCAGCAGUCCCCACGUUGGUCUUCCUCGAGUCGCGACUCGCGAAGCUCCCAUCCUCCGAGUCCAAGAUGGUGGACUGUGUCGAGCGCGGGGCGGGCGAUUAGUUGCCCGGCCGCCGGCGGGGGAUGGCCGGACGGCCAGAUCGCCGACUCCUCUAGUCCUCCCUCCAGCCUCUGCGCUUCUUUCACAGUGGAGCUAGCGGCGAGGCGCCCGACCGACACCCUUCUUCCCAAAUCCCGGCAGCCCUACCUCGAUUUGGCCUCCUCCGAUCAUUUGAUAAUCAAUUUGAUGAAAUUAAUAUGGAGUUGCUUUCUUGUAUGGUUGCCUUCAAUCCUGCUAAUUCAUUUGCUUCAUUUGAUGCACAAAAGAUACAUAGACUUGCUAUAUUUUUAUCCACAAGACAUCACAAGCACGGAUUUGCUAAAACUUGAAUUCCAGCUCGAUAUUAUAUUGAUGAUGUGAGAUAGGAUGAUAGUUUCAAAGGCCUACAAGAUCUUGUUAACUGAGACUCAGUUAAGCUUGUUGAAACAAACAGGCAUAAUAUUUAUGACUUGGUUUACUUGCUUCUCAAAUUGGUAUUGGUUCUUCUUGUGGCGACAGCUAGUGUUGAAAGGGAUUUUUGUGCAAUGACUUUGAUCAAGAGUAAGCUAAGAAAUAAGAUGGGUGAUAGUCUUUUGGAUGAUUGUCUUAUCACAUUCAUUGAGAAAGAUAUUUUCUUUGAAGUGGAUGAAGAAGAUAUAAUUAAGACUUCAUAUCCAUUAGAAAUCGUAGGCUGGAGAAGAAGUAAUAUUUUAAUUUUCUUUGAACGUUAGGUCUGUAAGCUUCUUUUAAACUAUCUACAUUAUAAUUUAUGGACCUUUUAAUUUAACCGUUGAAUUCAUGAUAUUAUGAGAUUUUUUUAUCUAUGUUAUUAUUGUUUACCGAUUUAUUACCAAAUUAUUAGUUUGAUCUUACAAUAUUGUAUUUUGGAUGAUUGGCUCGGCAUACUCUAAGUUUAAAUCCUAGCUCCGCCACUGUUUGCACAUUAAUGUGGCUUAUAUGUGUGGAGUCACUUAACCUAUGCACUUGGACCUCCACUCCCUUAGGUUUUAUGAACCUAAUUUGACAGCCUGCUCGUCUUUUAUUUUCUACCAAUCAGCUAGGAACGAACAUGGUGAUGUUUGCAUCUCUGCCAUCAAUGGCUUACAUGUCAUUAUGUAUCACAUUAGCAAGUCUUGUUUUGUUAUUGGCUGGGAUGACGGGGACUCUAGCUGGAAUUGAAUCAAAGUGGUAGAUCACAGGGUAUUCAUUGCCAUGUAUUUCUGCAGUUGCAUGGACUUGCAUCAAACGGACCUUCCUACUUAUGUGAUUGUCCUAUAUGAUCUCCUUUGAUUUCAUUUGCACACUGUAAUCACAUUAGCUAGAACACUCGCUUUUUGCUUCAAAUUUGAAAUUCAUAUCAUGAUGGACUAGAACGCUGAAUUUCUUGAUUGCUGAGUUACUAAUCACAUUGUGGCGCUGCCAAAGAAGCUGGACUCUUCAUUGUUGUUGCCUUGUGGGCUGCCGUGUGCAAAGAACAAGAGCGCACGGUAUUAUAAUAGCAGAGCAGAACACAGACAAGCGACAAGGAGCGGAGCAGAGCAGAGCACAGCCAGGCACAAGCAGUAGAGUAGAGCAGAGCAACCGGGAGAGGAGAGGGCACAUAUGCAGAGUAGAGCAGAGCCAAGCGCAAGCAUUCAUGCACUCAAGCAUGCAGCAGAGGUGUAGCAAGGCAAGCACAAGCAGCAGAGCAGAGGGAAGGGAAGGCUGGGAGAUGAAUAGGCGAAUAGUUACCUGGACAGAGCAGAGGGAAUGGAGAUGAUGCAGAUGCUUCCGGAGACUCGAGAUUUGGAGAGGAACAAGGCCACGUUGUGAACAAGGUCUCCUUUCUCUUCUCUAUUUCCCGCGCAAGUACUUGUGCAUAGUGGCUGCCUCAUCCUCCAGGACGUCCACUUCAACCUGAGGCGGGUGCCACAGACAUCCUGGCUAUGCGACGGCUACCCCCAGCACACCCCCGGCGCCUAUGAACCAUGAUCCUAAUACUAUAAAUUGUCAACCUUGUAAUCUUAUUUCAAGCAUGCUCUCUAUGUCAACCUGUAAGGUUAACUUCGUUUUUCCUUUUCUGGGUAGGGGAGUGGAUAUUGCUGUUAUUUAUAUUAUGUUGAUAUUGGUUUCCACAUGUCAUUCACCCCAAAUGUGUUGCAAGGUUGAACCUAUCAUCGGAGGAAUUUUUUUCCCUUUACCUUUAUAUCACUACGCUCUGGUUAUGUAUGAAACACUUGUCUUCUUAAAAACCUUAAUUUAGAAACAAAUUUGAAACACUAUCUUCAUUUACAUCCUGUAUGUGUUUUCUACCUUUUGUCCUAUAUGAUCUGCUUUGAUUUGAUUUGUGCAUAGUUUUUUCAAUUCAGACCUGGUGAUUUCUGAGGUUCAUGUUGUGCUGAUAAGCAGCCUACUAUUCAGUAACACUUUCAUGUGGCAUGUUCAUGUUAGCUAGCUAGAAACACUGCUUUUAGCUUCAAAAUUCAAAUUCAUGACAUGAUGGACAUUGACAAUGAAUUUCUUGAUUGCCGAGCUAUGUACACUGUAAUUCAGACCUGGUGCUUUUAGUUUUUUUCUUGAUUGCCGAGCUAGAAACACUGUGCUUUUAGUUUUUUCAAUUCAGACCUGGUGAUUUCGGUUUUUUCAAUUCAGACCUGGUGAUUUCUGAGGUUCACGUGUCACACCGAUUUUAAGAACAAAAUCGAGUGCAUUAAAUAUACAUGUACGCUAGGAUCAGGUUACACACAUGUACGACAUAAGCGAAUAUCAAAGACAAUGCCAUAACGAAAUAAAGAGAGUAUUAAUCAUUAUUACAUGACCGAAAGUCUCAAAUAAACCACAAAAUCUAUUUAUUACAUAGCGGAACUUCUAAGAUAGCAACGUCUCCACAGGCAGCUGACUGAAGAACUGUAUGCCUAGAACUCUUCAAAAUCGUGCAGGUACUCCUCCAGAUUAGCUUGGUAUGAACAACGGUUUUGCAAGGGUGAGUACACUUAUGGUUGGUACUUAAUAAGUCGUGGGAAACAAUGUAGUGUAAGGCAAAUCAAGGUAUGGCUAAGGCUUAAACAGCAUCAGCUUUUAAUUUAGUUGGUCAAAUUUUAUUAGCAAUUAAUUAGACGUAAAUUUAUACCACCCGAAAUUAAACAAGAACAUGAAUAAAAUAAUAACAUAACCAUAAAUGAAAUGACAACAAUUUAAAUCCAUCUUUUCAUAGCAUUAUCAUGUGAGGGUCCAGUCCGUUCUUAACCGUGAGCACCGCUGAUCGAUCAGUUUUACACUCUGCAGAGGUUGUACAUCUUUACCCACAAGUCGCGUAAAAGUUCAAAAGAAUUUUGGACCCAACCAUGCGGUAUUUGCAAGGCACCAUACCACACUUCCAAGGUGUGAUUGCAUAUGAACGCUACGAGGCCUUUACAAAGAUUCAUUAGUAAGUGGUAACCCGCUAAGGUUUCGGUAUUUGGCGUGCACAACCUAUCACAGGCCGCUAAUGCAACGACUCAGUCCCCCCUCUUGCCUCAUCACGAGUAAGAUUACCCCAGACUAAGGUUUCUAAUUAUUCAGCCAAGAUCAGAACCAUUUAGUCUUGUGGUAGCACUGUUUUCCUGGGUGGUUCUCCAUGUUCCGAUUAAACAUAAUGGUCUUGUAUUAAUGGAAGGUAUAACAUAAAUAAUACCAAAUUAAUAAUAAUUCAGAUUAAAUCACCAUAACCAUAUUUGAGCACUAAGCAUGAGCUACCCAACAUAAAUUUAACCCGGUUGGUCAAGGCAAGGUAGAUAAAGUCUAGGAAAUUCUUAAUUGGGACCCAUCAAGUUUAAAUUAUACUUUGCAUGGUAUGUUGCAUAGAACAUGAAAGUAAAUGUGAAUAGGACUGAAAAGGAGUGAUUAGGGACACGACUUGCCUUUUUAACCUUGUUCUUGCUGUUCGUACUCUUCGAAAACUUUGAUCUUCAAAUCCCUUGAACUGCUGACCGUCUACACGCGUCACACGACCACAUACAAGCAAACAAAUAUAAUACAUAAGAAAACAGUACACCAAUCAUAAUUAAAUAGAAGAAACAAAUUUGAAAAGCUAUUCUACGCAUUAAAACGAAAACACGGAUACAAGGAACGUUAAAAACGGAGCUACAGUGCAAAAACUACGCUUAAAACAAGAUGCAGGGGUAUAACUACGAGAAACCAAACUUCCAGGGAUUUAAUUUUAAAUAAUUUUGAACUGCAGAAGGGGCAGCAGGGCAAAACGUAGAAAAUGCAGGGGCUUAAGCGCAAAAGCAUGGCUGCUGACUCAGCUGACUUGAUGUGGAUCGUCGGAUGGCGAUCCGGCGGCCGGCAGCUGCUGCGCUGACGUCAGCGACGGCGAGCGCCGGCGAAAAACGGCAGUUCGCCGGAAUCGCCCGGGAACGCGCGACUGGGUGCAGAUUUGAGCGAGGAUUAGACUAGCAGAUAGAAACGAGCGCAGUGAACUCAUUUGGGAUGCCUACGGCGAGGACUUGGCGACGGCAUCGGCUCCGGCGAGAACUUGCGGCAGGGAAACCAAAUAAAAUAAAAUAACACGGUUCAGAGAAGCGGCGCUGGAGGAACGCGAGCGAUUUUGCGUGCGAGCGGAAGAAAACACUGCGAGGAAGAUGACUGCGGGCCCUGCUUGUCUGCGGCAGGAGGAGAGCUGCGUGCGAGAAGAACCUGGCCACGAUCUGGGCCGUUGCCUUCGAUCUGGGCCGAGGCAAGCUAGCUGGCCCGCUGCUGCGGAAAGGUGCUGGGCCACGGGCGGAGCACAGCGUCGGGCCAGAAAGGAGAUGGCUGCUGCGAGGAAACAAAAGAAAAUGAACUGGGCUGCGACAGAGGAAAACUGGGCGUCGGCCAGAAAGAAGCUGCGUGCAGCUUGCUCUUGUUUCCGAACUAGAAACAGGAACUGACGGAAAGACAGAAAUCAAUUGGAGACUGAAACUGACGCCCCAGACUCUGAACUUCGAAAAAACAGGACAACCAGCCAACUGACAGAAAAAAAAAAGCUUAACAACCCAAAAGCAGUACACAACCACGAAACCAGGCCACAAGACUGAAAAAGCUUGAUAGGAACAUCUGGCGACUGAACCAAAAAACUACAGAACUGCAACUGAAGAACUAGAGAACAGAUAAAUAACUGAUUGAACUCUGAAACUGAAACACCAAAGAGCAGGAAGCUGACUGACGGAAAAUGCAAAACAGCAACCCAAGGUGAAACACAAAUUCUUCUUCAAGCAUUCAAACAAAGAGAUAUGCAACAGCAUGAAUGCUCAAUAAAAUCCUAUAUUUCAUUAAUUAAUUAGAAAAAAUGCUCAAAUGCCUAGAAAAAUGCAAAAGUGACCUUAUAUGCCUUAAACAAGCAAAUUCGUUUCUAGCGAUUUUUGGUAAAAUGCAAAAUUAGAGAUUUUGGGUGUUACAUCAUGUUGUGCUGAUAAGCAGCCUACUAUUCAGUAACACUUUCAUGUGGCAUGUUCAUGUUAGCUAGCUAGAAACACUGUGCUUUUAGCUUCAAAAUUAAAUUCAUGACAUGAUGGACAUUGACAAUGAAUUUCUUGAUUGCCGAGCUAUGUACACUGUAAUCACAUUGUGGGGCUGAUAAAAUAAGCAGCGUUGAGACACAUAACAAUUGAAUCUUAAGCUUCACACAGAAUCUGGACCAGUCAUCCUCAUUCCUGUCAUGCUGGAAAUGUCUUUGAUACAUUUCAAUCACAGGCAAUUGAAUUCGUACUGGGGAGGAUGGCAAUGGUGCAUGAAGAGAGAUCAAUGUGGCAAAUCUCACAUUGUUCAUUACCAGGUAUCUCCGAUUUCUGGUUAUUUUAAAUUUACCUUGACAUGUGACUUAUUGAGGUAUUGUAUUUCAUCUAAUGGUAGUUCUGAAUUUAUGGUAACCUUGGAUGGGGUUUGUCACUUUAUACACGCACGGACUUACAAAGGACAGCAAAUGAGUAUAUUUAGAGGGCUCCUGUCCAACCAUGGACUAUACUUAUGUACCCUUUUUUGACAUGGUAAUUUGAGGUUAAUGGAAAAGUAGCGAUAGUCGCCUCCAGCGAAGCUACCUUCUUCGAAAGCUCCGAGGCUGCUUUCUCGCUCUUAGCAAGCCGAUCCCUCGUAAUCAUCGAAGAGUAAGAGACCUACAGAUUUUAAAAACCAAGUUACCAAAAAUAACGAAGUAAAAGACAACACUCGCAAGACAAACCACCAAACUAUCUCAUAAUUGUACCUUCUUUACGAGGUUCGCCUCCAAGUUAAAGAGCUCUUCCAAGAUCAUUGACUUCACAGCUUGCUGAAAAUCUAUGCGCCAAAGGAUAUAGUCGUAAGCAUAAAAUAAAAAUUGGUAAAAACCAAGGACAGCAAAGCCAUCUACAAGCUGUUCUUACCCUCAUACUUUCGCACCUCAACGGCGAUCGGAACAACCUUCUCUCUAGCCUCGCCCUUAGACGCCACCACAAUCUUCCCGCCACACAAAUCCACAACCCCUCCUUUACCUUUGCCCUCUCCCGAAGUCGUCGUGCCCGCCUUCUCCACCCUUUUUGAACCGCCAACAUCUGCAUAGCGCUCGCAACCUUCACCUUCAGCCCCCCAGACCAAAGACAGGUUGUGAGGAUUAUAAACCCUACCUUCGGCGCAUGUAGCUAGAAUCUCCGUGCGCCCGCUCAAGCCCAGACACUCAUUCAGUCCCUGAAGCCCCGCCGGCAACCUCUCACCUACAUCAUAACAUUCAACUUUUAGCCUCACAUGAUCCUCACAACUAACCUUACCAACGCCCCCCAUAGUUUCUUCCAAGUCCUUCAAAAAUUUCGUUGAGGCCUCACCACAAUCAAAGAACCGUAGCAUCGAUAGAAACACCUCUACAUGCUUACCAGAUCUCACAGCUUCGGCACACCCACCCUUUGGAUCAGAUGAGAACGCAUCCACAAGCUUCGCCUUUUCGGUGGCAAACCCCCUCUCAAGUUUCCCAACAUCAGUCAAGAGAUGUUGCGCGCUCUUAAACUUCGAGCUUAUGGAAGGCACCGUGAUCUUGGUACCAGCUGCCGAAGACGCGUCAACCUUGGCACCCGUAACAGUAACAGGAGCAAAUCGAGGUUUCUUGGCGCCUCUUUUGAUCCGUGCGGCGGGCCCGGUGGAUGAAGGUGCAAGAGCUGGAACCUCCUUAGGAGGGCGCAUAGAGACAGGAACAACAUAUGCCGGAUUGCUCAAGUCGCCAGACGAAGCUGUCGACCACGAUGGCAACAUAGCAGACGAAGCCCCCGCGGUCAUUUCCUUCCUUUUUUGCGCCUCCAAAUUCAAGGUCUUUUGCUUCGCCUUAGCGGUCACUUGCAAUUCAAUAGUGAGCUUCACCAUGGGUACGAAGUCAAAUUUUGCCUUUUUCCUCUGCUCAAGACUAGCACCGCGACGGCGCCUCUUGCCCGUAACUUUGGGGUGAGGCAGAACCACAAUAUCAUACAAGUCAAAAAUCUAAGAUGAUGACAUUCCAUUUGUAUCCAUGAUUUAUAUUGUGUUCCUUGAAUAUCCAUUAAAGUCUACUUGAAUUGAUUUGCAAUUAUGUGAAUUGUAUGUGAAACUCUUUCCUUGUAUGGUUAUUCUAAAGUUGUCCCUAGUCGGAGUUCAUGUGAGGACACAUGAAUAUUAGACUAGCACAUGUAUUAGUUGAUGACUAUGUUUCACAAGUCAUGGACAUGAAGAUGUGGAACUAAUAAUGUGGGCACAUGUGGAGACACGUGCUAGGACUGACCCAACACGAGAAGUAGUUCUCUCUUUAUACAACAUAUACGCUUUGUCCUUAGACCUGAGAUUGUCGCAUGUACUCAAGAUGUGGAUCGACUUACUUAGGGGCUAUCAAAUUCUACGCCGUAACAGGGUAGUUAUAAAGGUAGCUUUCGGGUUUGUCAAGAAGCAUGCUAUGAGACAUGGUCAAUCAAGAUGGGAUUUGCCCCUCUCUGAUUGAGAGUGAUAUCUCUGGGCCCCUCGAGUGAUCGGAUCCGAAAAUGCAUGGCCAUGCUACAUACGAUUAAGAGUUAGCCUACAAAAGGAUUCCGAAUCAUAGGAUCGAGAAAGAGCGGUCGGCUUGAAGCUAGACCAAAUAUCGUGAGGCAAAGGGAAUAGCAUGUAUAUAAUGUUGUGAUGGUUCGUCUGAUAUGAUCUUCGUGUGCGUAUAGGAGUUGGCACGUCUUGCUAGAGGUCGCUACCGACUAUUGGGCCGAGUAGGAGUACUCAGGCCAUGUCUAUACGUAUCCGAACCCAUAGGGUCACACACUUAAGGGGCUGGAAGCCCAAUUCGGAUGUGAUCCGAAUUGGAUUAGGUUUAGAAGUACUAAUGGGCCUUGGACCUAGAGGCCCGUUAGGAACCUCUAUAAAUAGAGGGGUGGGGGCGCCCUAGGGUUUACACCUUUUUGGUGAAACACAUCUGCCGCGCCUCCCACGCCUUCGCCUGUUGCAACUCGCGGACCUAGCAGUCCGGCUUGCGACGCUUCCUCCCUGCACGUGUGGAUACCUUGGAAGUGUUGCUCCUGCAGCACUUGGACGAGCCGCCAACGAGCCACGACGAGCCACGAUGAGCCGACGAUGAGCCGCGGCACGAGGGGGAUCUUGCUGCACGUGGACGAGCUGCUGAGGAGCUGCUGGACGUCGAUGUGUUCGACUACGUACGACUACGCUGAUCGACUUCGCUGCAUCAACGCGAAUCUACAUCUUCCGCAUCAUUGCAUCGAGUGGUAAUCCCGUGAUCCUGAUACGGCAGUUUUCCUAGUUUACGCGGUAGAAAAUUUUGUUUUGUGCUAGUGUAGCCUAACUCAUAUCCCAACAACGUGUGCUAUAGGUCACGCAAGCCUGAAAAUGGCCACACCGGACACCGGGUACGAAAACAUGGGGGAUGGACCGAACAUUUGAAAAUGGCCUCCAUAUGUGUUUUCGGCUAUGAAAAUGUGUGUUAUAGGUCACAGAAGCUUGAAAACGGCCGCACCAGCCACUAGGGACGAAAACGUGGGGGAUGGACCAAAGACAUAAAAAAUAGCCUCCAGACGCGUGUUCGGCCAUGAAAACGUGUGGUAUAGGUCCUGGAAGGCCAAAAACAGCUACACCGGCCACCUGGGACGAAAAAGUUUGUGUAAGACCGAACACUUGAAAAUAGCCUCUGGACGCGUGUUCGGCUAUGAAAAGGUGUGUUAUAGGUCACACGAGCCCCAAAACAACCACAGCGAACACCAGCUACAAAAACAUGGGGGAUGGAUCGAAUAAUUGAAAAUGGCCUCCAGACGUUUGUUCGGCCAUGAAAUCGUGCGUUAUAGGUCGCGGGAGCCCGAAAACGGCCACACCGGCCACCGGGAAUGAAAAUGUGGGGGAUGGACCGAACAAUUAAAAAUGGCCUCCGGAUGUGUGUUCGGCCAUGAAAACGUAUGUUAUAGGUCACGGGAGCAUGAAAACGGCCGCACUGGCCACUGGGGACGAAACGUGGGGGAUGGACCGAAGACGUGAAAAUAGCCUCCAGACGCAUGUUCGGCCAUGAAAAUGUGUGCUAUAGGUCAUGCAAGGCCAAAAACAGCUGCACCAGCAACCGGGGACGAAACCAUGGCUGUCAAACCGAACGCUUGAAAAUCGCCUUCGGACGCGUGUUCGGAUAUGAAAACAUGUGUUGUAGGUCACGCGUGCCCGAAAACGUCCACAACGGACACCGGGUACAAAAACGUGGGGGAUGGAUCGAAUAACUGAAAAUGACCUCCGAACGCGUGUUCGGCCAUGAAAACGUGUGUUAUAGGUUGCGGGAGCCCAAAAAUGGCCACACCGGCCACCGAGGAUCAAAACGUGGGGGAUUGACCGAACAAUUAAAAAUGGCCUCCGAUUGUAUGUUCGGCCAUGAAAACGUGUGUUAUAGGUCAUGGGGGCCCAAAAAUGGCCGCACCAGCCACCAAGGACGAAAAUAUGGGAGAUGGACCAAAGACAUGAAAAUGGCCUCCAGAUGCAUGUUUGGACAAAAGUGUGUGCUAUAUGUCGUGCAAGGCCAAAAACAGCUACACCAGCCACCGGGACAAAAACGUGGGUGUUUGACUAAACAAGUGAAAAUGGCCUCCGGAAGCAUGUACGGCUAUGAAAAUGUGUGCUAUAGGUAAUGGAAGGCUAACAAAAGCUACACCGGCCACCGGGGACAAAAUCAUGGGUGUCAGACUGAACACUUCAAAAUGGCCUCCGGACGCGUGUCCGGCUAUCAAAACGUGUGUUAUAGGUCAUGCGAGCCCGAAAACAACCACACUGAACACCGGGUACAGAAACAUGGGGGAUGGACUGAAUAACUGAAAAUGGCCUCUAGACGCGUGUUCGGUCAUGAAAACAUGUGUUGUAGGAUGCGGGAGCCCGAAAACGGCCACACCGGCCACCAGGGCAUGGACCAAACAAUUGAAAAUGGCCUCCGGAUGUGUGUUCGGCCAUGAAAACGUGUGUUAUAGGUCACGGGAGCCCAAAAAUAGCCGCACCGACCACUGGGGAUGAAAUCGUGGGGGAUGGACCGAAGAUGUGAAAAUGGCCUCCAGAUGCGUGUUCGGCCAUGAAAACGUGCGCUAUAAGUCAUGUAAGGCUAAAAAUUGCUACACCGGGACUAAAGCAUCCCCCAUGAGUUACAAUAAAAGGAUUGUAUCCUCUACUCAGUCGGAUGUACUGUGUAGGUGAGAUGGUAAGGAAGCUAUGCGCGAGGUUUGAGGUUGUGGGUUGAAAUCCUACGCACCGCGCGCACACGCGCAUAUUUUGUGUGAAAAAUCAUGUGACUUGUGAUCGGCCAAGGAGAAGUGGGUGCAGCUGUGGCUUAAGUGGCUGAGGCACGCUGCCAUAGACAUCUCCGAUUUGCUCGAAGACUACCAAGACACUAGCAAUAACAAGAACUACUGCUCUUCCUAGCAGACUCUUUACAACCACUUUAAAGCUGUGCAUUUCUCAAUGUAAUUUCGUAGAAGGCAAUCGAUCCAACCAAGCGACUAAAUCAUUUGUUCUUGCCAAUGAUGUACAUCAGGUUUUCUAUAUGAAGGACAUGUCUAGCAAACCUAAGAUUUUAGAAGAAAAAGAAAAAUUAUGGGAGUCAAUAAUAAAUCAGGCCAAUCAGGAGAUUAUAGUAAGCUCGAUGGUAUGCCUCCAUUCGAUGUCGAAGUUGGCCCAAGCAUCAUGUUAGCCAAAGAUCAAAUGUUCGUGCAUUGCUACGGUAAAGAUCAAUUGUGUCUUUUAAACCCAUGGAAUUUUUUAUCUAUGUUUUUAUUACACUUAAUGGAUGUCUACACAUUUGCUAGAAAAUCAAAAUAAUUUUGACUUAAUUAUUUCUUUCAACUCAAAUACUCAUUAAAUUUCUACCUUUUUAUUUAAGCAAGAGAGUUGCUCAAAAAAUGGAUACGUAACCAUGUUGUAUCAUACAAAGCAACCACAUUUCACAUAUAGUCUGGCUUAGCAAACACCAUUGUUGUCUUAACAUAGUGUUCAUGAGUUAGUAGACAUGGAUCUAUUUCUAAUUGCAAGUAGUGCAGCGUACAACCAGCCUGCACCGCCGCAGCUCAAUAUGCGAUAAUUUUUUAUCUUCCCAUGUAAUUUUUCUACUCUAGUACAUAUUGAACUCCACAUAAAUGUCAUGUUCUUUCACGCCACAGACGGUUUCUAAAGUUUGGAACUAAAUAGAUAGCCAAAAAUUUUAAAAAAAUAUUUAUAUGGAUACAUGUAUGUUCUUUGCAAACUAACAAUAUUGUUUACAAUAUCAAAAGGAAUAUGGCUAUGAUCAUUGCCGCAUAUGGCAGGUGAUGGUAGAUGCCGUAUGGGGUUUCUUUAACUUAAUUGUAUAAUAAGCUGAAAUACAUUUUCUAUUUGCAAAUGAAUCAUAGCUGAAAGUGGUGGGAUUGUAGAACCGCCGGCCAUCGUGUCCUUGUAGGACCGCUGCACGAGCCUGUGAGCCACCAGCCACCAUGCGCCCAAGGGCCAUCACCACGCCAUAAGAGGAUGCUGUCUACCCGGUUUCGCGCGCCUGUGCUAGCUGCCUGAACCUGGGCCGCCGCCGGUCGCCUGCCCAGCCGCGCGUUGCGCCAGGGUUUUGCUGGUGACGACCAUGGCCUUCGCGAUCAAAUUAAAAAGUUAUCAACUGCAAAGUAUUAGGUCUCGUUGAGCUCUACAAUUUUGAUAUAAAGUUUCUAUUCAUCCGAGAUCAAAUAAAAAAUUUGAUACUCAAAGCAUAAAUCCAUUAAUCUAGUCUUGCUAAUCCUUACCACCAAAUAAAAAACUAGCAUGUGUUGUGUGUUUGUGACCCUAAACGAUCACAAAUGAAUAACUUAUGGGCCUUGCUAGCGCCCGGAUGUCCAGGCCGGGGCACUAGCAUCAGACCCACGAGUAGCCGUCCGAUCAGGUUCGACACCACUUCAGGAUCUGGCUUAAAAAGAAGUCCCACCGAAACAUUGUUCCAUGUUGCAUGAAGCAACCCACUACCGUCGCCAGGUCUAGAGCAAGCACCACCUUCAAAUGUGCUGCUCACCCUAGCUAAAUAGGGGCAUUAAAAUAUUUCUCGCAUAUCCUUCUCAAAUUAAACAAAAUCGCAACAUCUGAAAAUUUUUACAGAAAACCAUGAAACAUAUCGAUUAGAUAGAUGUAACAAGAUGGAAUAUGGUAUAUGCAACAUAUAGGUUCCGAAAAGCAGAUGAAAUAUUAUGUAAUGAUUCUUGAAACAGUCAAGAAAAAUAGAUGUAACAUCUAAAAUUAAGAAAAGAAGCUUUAUGCAAAUUGCAAAAAGCUGAAACAAGUGGUUGAAACAUUUCAAAUCACCAAAUGCCACAUUUGAAAUGACCAGAUGAAACAUCACGAAAUCAAUUGCAACAGUUGAAGAUGAAAACAUUCAAAUGCCUUGCCUUUCUCCAAAUUUGACCCUCCAAGCAUGAGUCCAGCCAUUUGCACAUUAGACCCUUGGGAGGAGCUCACCGGAGAACAACAAGACCGUGUUAUCCAACAAUUUUCAGAUCAAAUUGCAACAUAAAGAACAAAGCAUUGCAACAUCUGGCAUCACGAGCUACAACAGCAACCAGUUAGGAUCAGGAGAAAGAGGGCAAACACAAGCCUAACAAUGAGUUAUAUCCGGUUUAAACAAGGAUAAAAAUGAGUGUAUUUUACACUCAUCAUGUUGUCUUUUCGCAGCUGUACCGCCUUUAGCGUGUUGUAUUGUUCCUAACACCAAGUCUCCGAGGCCCGAAAAAAUAAGGAAAGUGGUAGCAGCUCAGAAAUCGACUAAGUUUCUUUCCCCCUUUGGCUUUCCUACUAGGAUUCGGAAUCCUCUUUCGUAUGACAAUCUUAAUGAUCUCCCAUAGUCCAAAACUCACAAAAACAUCAAAAAUCCACCGAGAAUAAAUUAAGUAAAAAAACAUGCACACACAGAUAAUAAUAGUAAUCAUGUUUCAUUAUGAUUGCUAAGGUCAGACACAAUACAUAAACAUAUUAGACUGAGUGACCCACCUCACCUCAGAGUAUGCACCAUGUCUGAGUGACCCACCUCACCUUGCCAGGACACUGGUCCUGCCCUCGUGGUUCACGCGCCCUCGUGGUUCAGCAGUGGUCAGUACACAAAUCUAGCUGCCAGUCGGAUCCAAGGGCAGGCAUUUGCAUUGUGGUUGUGUUUGAACAUGGAGAUGUCAUUAUUAUUGUCAGGCACCAUACAUCCUCUCUCAGUUUCACUCCGCCUCACACACGGAUAGCACACCAGGGACCCGACACCAUGCAUGCCGAUUUCAUAUUAUUAAUAUUUAAUUUUUUUAAUGGUUGUUGAAACUAUAUUGUUGAUAUUUUUAUACAUAAUUUACGACCUAAUUUGGAUAUAUUUUUGAAAUAUUCCGAAAUCUUAAAUUCACACGUCUAGAGAUACAGUUAGUCCAAUCUGAUGUUUCCGAUUAUAAAAAUGAACAUAAAGAGAUAGGAAGCGAGAGACGUGAGGGGGAAAGUUAAAUUAGGGCCUAAGGGGUGAAGUUAGGGUUCCAGGUGAGCUGUCAUCACUACGUGUUUUUAAUCGAAAUUGGAAUGUCAGCAAUCGUCAGAUCUUGAGCCAACAGUUGAGACUGCCUCGGAAUGGUAAUUAGGUCUGCGCGAGCUUGCAUUGUGGCCUUCCUUGAAACCUUGGACAUAGGUGUUAUAUUAUUAUGUUCUUGCCAGCACACAGCAGUGAAGGACGACACAGUUGAGAUGUGCAUCACAUUUUCUAUAUGAAGGAUAUGUUUAGCAAACCUAAGAUUUUAGAAUAAAAAGAAAAAUCAUGGGAGCCAAAGCGCCACAUAGUUCUUCCAGGUAAAAAAAAAUCAUCCACUGGACCAGCACAUAGUAACGAUCCAAAAAGUCCAUAUUAAGAUUUUUUGAUAGCAGAAAAAACAUAAAAUGUCUAAUAUUUGUAGUAUUAAAAGGAAAAAUAAUAUAUUCACGUGACCUUUUUCCCGUAGCAAGGCACCGGUACGUGGUCAGACUUAAUGCACGAUGCCUAAGCAUCCAUUGGGCCUACCCUCGUGUGGAUCACGCGCAACAGGACACGGCUCACAAGCUAUGAUGUGCAGCAGUCGCUCAGAUGGCUGAAAGGUACCCUUAAUUUGAAUGGUACCAUAUAUAUAUAUAUAUAUAUAUAUAUAGUAAACAAGACAAACCACCGUUGAUACUACUUUGCACUACUUGAUACAUAUAUCUCCACCAAAAGCGAGGCACGUGGGGAGGAGAGAUAUGUGGUUGAUGGUGCGGGCACGUGGCGAGUGCACCGUACGAAAAUUUUGCUCGUGUCGGACGACUGAUGUGAAGCAUUACCCAAUCUUAAUUAUCUCCCAUAAUCCAAAACUCACAAAAACAUCAAAAAUCCGCCGAGAAUAAAUUAAGUAAACCAUGCACACACAGAUAAUAAAAUUGCUAAUAAGGCCAGAGACAAUACAUAAACAUAUUAGACUGUUCAUGACACAUAUCACGGUGGAUAGUGUCUGUGUCCUUAUUACAAGCAAUGAGAGAUGCUUGUCACCACACACACGCGCACAGAUGCACAACAUACAUAUAGUUGAGACCAACAGAUGGAUCAACUAGAGGUCACCCCAUAUGGUGAACAAUUUAUUGGAGAUAAACAUUAACAUAACUUGGCCAUAGCUUGAAGCAUAGCAACAUAUGCCUAUGAACGGCGUUCAUGCUAUCAUUUUAGGCUUGUCCGCUUCUUCCAUCUUAGCAAGCACUUCCAUUUCUACCAUCUUAGAAGCAACUGUCAAAUUGAGAUAUGGAAAUCCCAUUAGCGCAUGAGUUAAUUUUGCAGUGAAAAUAGAGUACAAGAUAUCUUCAUGAUGUAAGUAACAUGCCUGAAGUUGUGAGAUGGGAAGUGAAGUCAACAAAUUACAUUAACGGAAAUGCAUGGAAGGCCACACAUACGUAUUAGUCCAUGAUAUGCUACAAAGCUUGUAUGUACAUAUAGCAAAUUAAAUGCAUUAAUUGAAUAGAGUGAGUUUAGUGAAUUUACCAGAAUCGUCCAGAAAACAUGGGAAACAGCAAGUGUUCUUGCAGACUGCGUCGGUGCCACCCACAGCAAUACAACCAAAACAACAUGCUUUUGCCCGAGCGGCUGCGCAGCAGCCGCACUCUGCCGCGGUGGCCGAGUUAGCAUUGAGGCUCAAGAUGACCAGGCACAUGAUCACCAUCAAAGCGGUGGUAGUCCUCUUUCCCUCCAUUGCCUCCUCUUGCUGCUACCUUCCUUGGUUACCUAGCUAAGUUUAUUGGUUUUGUGUUGAGAGGUGAUUCUUGCAUUGAAUGGACGUUGCCGCGGCUGCAAUUUAUAGGCAGCUGCGCUAUGUGAUGAUAUGGACAAGGUGCAAAUGGGUGGUCCUGAUAUGGAUAAGGUGCAUGCGAAUGGCUGUCUACUUGUAUAGUGGCGCUCCAAUGUACAUACGUAUGUAUCUUAUGCAUGUAUACAGUUGAUGGAUGUACAUGUUUGUUGCACAAAUUAUUCUGAACCAACUCUUCAUAACAGGUCUUUGUUACCAAGUAAUUUUACUUUUGCACGUUUCAGCCGAGAGGCAGAAGAGAAUAUUUUACAGAGAGGGCAGAGAAGGAGGUUGGCGGAGGCGCCGUGGUAGGGUUCCCCGUGUCGCCAAGAUUUUUGCAUUUUAGAUGUGUGUAUUGAUCACUUCGUCGUGCUCGCGGGGCCCAACUCCAGGUUGUACCCCAGCAGACCACGUUCUGUUUCUCUGCCUCCAAUGAGCAUGCAUGCCUCCACAAGGACCACAAGACUUAGUAAAAAAGCUAAACUUUGCAACACGAUGUAUACAGAACGUUUUGAAAUGUACUCUCGUUAGGCAUUCACCUCCUUAACAAUCACUGCGACUGUAAAAGAGGUACAUCGACGCUAGCUAAAUAAACCACUAUAAGAUUUAGCAAGAGAUCAUUUUAUACAAUCCUGUAACGAAACAAUUUGACAAUUAUAGUGUCCAUAUAUUUUGACAAAAAAACGUUUAAAUUAUAUAAGGAGGUGGGCCCGAAAACGGUUGGAUUACAUCGAGAACGUUUUGAAACAGUUGGCGGAGCAGGAUUCUGGCGUGGAGCAUCUACAUUGUCGCGCGCGCGGACUGCCGGAGUAGGCACGCUCGACUUGUCCCAUCGCCAGCUAAAUGAUUUAGUACCGGAUGGUCUCUAGUACCGGUUGGAGCUACCGUCCACCAGGAGCUUUUCUAGUUUGGAACUGGUACUAAUGCUAAUAUUAGUAUCAGGUCAAAAACAAUCGGUACUAAGGCUAGGGAUGACACGUCAUUUUUCUAGUAGUGUGUGCAAUUGGUUUUGUAAUUAGUCUAUAUUUAAUACUUCUAAUUAGUAUCUACACAUUUUAUGUGACAGGGACUGAACUUUAGUCCGUGGAACCAAACACCCCAUAAGUAUGUUUGGUGCUGUAAGGAUUUCGGUUUUAUUUAAUUUCCUAGGCAUUUAAAUUUCUUUCUAAAAUAAGUUAAUGAAUCAUAGGAUCUCAUUGUUGUAUUCAAGCUGGUGCAUUGAUUUUGCCUAUAAAACCCGCCGCGGUCUUCGCAGCCCCCAUCAAACCCUAGCGCCCUUGCCACAAGCUCAGCACCGCUGCCGCCCGAGCUCGAGCACUAGCACCCACCCAUCGCCGUUGCCUUCCCGUCGAUGGGAUCACCGCCCGGAGCUUCGCAUCGUGGUAAGGAAGCCGCCCGUGAAGAUCCCAUGUGCUCCUAUGCCCUCUACCGCGUCCCCGAGUUCCCGGAGUUGCUAGUCUCCCACCGAGCCGACUCUCCGAGCUUCACGUCACUGGUGCCGCUCCGAAGACCUAGUUCGGUUCGCCAUGCACCUCGCUUCAUCCUGAGCUAAACCCCAUAAUGAAUGGUGGUCGGAUGCUCGCCGCCACGGCGCGUCGUCUUUUCUGUCGCCCGUGCAUUGCCUAUCCCCUUCCAGCCGAUUGCAGCUGUCCGAUCGCAAACCGGUGGCCCUGAUCGGAUACCAAGGUCAAUACCGGUCGAACCGAGCCGUGCGCUGCUUUUGCAAGAAGGCCCCUGUUUUUCUCUCUUUUUGCACCUGAGGUCCUACGCAGUUCAAAAGUAAUAAGAUCUAGGUCCUUUUUCUUUUGUUUUAGCCCGUGUUCUUUUAUAAAAUCCCGCCCACUAUUCUGUUUGGUCUUUUGACGCGUUAGACCUUCUUUUUAUAUGUUUAAUUAGGUUUUAGGUCUCGAUUUCUUUAAGUUUAGCCCUUGAAAGUUUAGUUCUCUCGCAGUUAAGCCCCUGAACCUUGUUUAGCUCAUAUCUUAAGCGUUUUAAAUCCGUUUUAACAGAUUCUUGCGCCUAUAAGUUCAUGUUGACGCAUAGAUUAGUUGACUUAUACGAACCUUGCUGAUUCAGCUCCUUGAUUGUGCUUCAGAUCUCGCUAGGGAAGAAUAAUGGAUGGGCUUUGGUUGAGCUUGUAGAUCGACUUGCAGUUGCAGUGAAUGAGCAGAGGAUUGGCAGUGAAUAAGAUCAGGCCGCUGCCCUGCUUGGUAGGGAAAAUAUCUGCUUGCUACCAAGGCCUGUGACGCAUGGACCCCAUUGAGAGUGCAUUAUUGACAAGGACUUAAAGCCAAGGGCUCCACACCUGUCAUUGAUCAGCUGUCUGCUGGGCGCUGCAAGGAGGUAGUGCAUGUUUGACAUAAAGAAGCAGGUGGCCCAGGAUUUACGAAAAAUAAGGAUCUAUUUGAUACCCUUGCUUAUAUUUAGGGGCUAAAAGUUGCUUAUUUGAAGUUGCUUAUUUUUAAUCCUAGCUGUUUGAUUGCAUGGGCUAAAGAGCAUUGAAUGAGGUGGAUAUUGUCAUGUUUGCCUCUAAUGAUUGCUUCCCAUCACAUUUCUCCCCCCUCAUUCAACGAGGGAAGGAGGUGUAAAGUGCACCUUUUAGCCCCGAUAAGUAACCCUUGUGUUGUUUACGGGCUGAACAUAAGUAGCUAAAGUUUAGCUCCAAUAAACAAGAGUGUUUGGUAUUUUUGGGGUUAAAAGGGGCUAAACUUUAGCUGCUUAUGCAUAAGCAAGGCCAUCCAAAUAGGCCCUAAGUAUGUUUGGCGUUGUAAGUAGGUUUUAUUUAAUUUCCUAGGCAUUUAAAUUUCUUUCUAAAAUAAGUUAAUGAAUCAUAGGAGUUCAUUGUUGCAUUCACGCUGGUGCAUUGAUUUUGCCUACAAAACCUGCUGCCGUUUCCGCAGCUCCCAUCAAACCCUAGCACCCCCGCCACGAGCUCCAGCGCCGCUGCCGCCCGAGCUUGAGCACUAGCGCACACCCAUCGCCGUCGCCUUCCUAUCAAUGGGAUCACCGCCCGGAGCCCGUGUCAUGGUAAAGAAGCCGCCCGUGAAGAUCCCGUCCACUCUCGUGCCCUCUACCGCGUCCUCGAGUUCACCGGAGUUGCCAGUCUGCCACCCAGCCGCCUCUCCGAGCUUCAUGUUGUCGUUGCCACUCUAGCUGCCUCUCUGAAGACCUAGAUCGGUUUGCCGUGCACCCCGCUUCAUCCUGAGUUAAACCCCAUCAUGCCACGUCAUAGUAAGGAAGCUGCUCAUGAAGAUCCCGUGCGCUCCCGUGCCCUCUACCGCGUCCCCAAGUUCACUGGAGUUGCUAGUCCACCACCGAGCCGCCUCUCCGAGCUUCACUUCACAGUCGCUGCUCCAGCCACCACUCUGAAGACCUAGAUCAGUUCGCUGUGCACCCCACCUCAUCCUGAGCUAAACCCCAUGACGAACUGUGGUCGGAUGCUCAUUUUCGAGUGAAUUCCGGCGAGAUGGUCGCCCGCCGCCGCCAUCUCCAUCGCCCAUGCACCGCCUGUCCCCUUCCAGCCGAUGUCCGAUUGCAAACCGAUAGCCGAAAUCGGAUGUGGUCACCAGGAUUAAUACCAGUCAAACUAAGCCACGCGUGCCGCUUUUGCAAGAAGGCCCCUAUUUUUCCCUCUUUUUGCACUUGAGGUCCUAUGCAGUUCAAAAGUAAUUAGAUCAAGGUCCUUUUUCUUAUGUUUUAGCCCUAUUCUUUCAUAAAAUCCCGGCUGCCAUCCUGUUUGAAAUAGAUACGGUUAUAGAUAUGCAAACAUCUGCAUAUUUCCAACCGUAUCUCUUUCGAACGGGAGACGCCUAACUAGGUUACGUGACAUACGAACAUCAUACGGAUAGAGAGGGGUAGGAUGUCUCACCUUGCUAUCCUACAAAGUGACGACUCGAGGACAGUAAUGUAGCCUCUCCUUCAAAAAAAGAACAUACUACUAUCAAGUUAAAUUUUUGACAGCACCUCCCCUGCACGUGGAGGUUUCCAUAACCUGCAUCAAAUAAAACGGCACGAUGGCUGACAACCACAUCUACAGCACCAGAAUGGCACGAUGGCCGACUUCCACAUAAAGUUCUUAUACCUUAGAUUGCCAAGUCAAACAUCCUUUUCUAAUUUCUAAAACAAAAGCCCUCCCACCUCUCUAUCUUAUACUUUCCUAUUUACUAAUUGCUUUUGUAAUUUCUAAUUUCUAUUUCAUCCUACCACCUCUGUACCCUUUUCUCAUUUCUAAUUCCAAUUUUCUAACUUGAAGAGCAAAGAUUGAUUACUAGGAGGGGUGAGGGACGCCGGCCUAGAGAGGCGAGGGGACGUCCGGCGGCGGCGGGUGCGUCGGGGGUAGGAUGCCAGGGGCGGCUGCAGGGGCGCCGGGUUGGGGGCGGCCGGGAUCGAGGGCACCAGUAGCGGGGGCACCGGGCCGGGGGCGGCCGGCGGGGCGGGACGCCAGGGCCGGGGCGACGGGCGCCGGUGGCGAGGCCGCCCGGCCGGUGGUGGCCGGCGUGGCGCCUGGGCCGGGGGGGGGGGGCGGGCGGGGUGCGGCGCGGCGCGCCGGGGCAGGGCGCCGAGGCUGGGUGGUGGGGUACGGGGCGGCGGGCGGGGGGUGGGGGGAGGGUCGGCGGCGGGGCGCGGGGGCGGCCAGCGGCGACGGCGGAGGGCGUCGGUGGUGUUUCGGAAGUGAUACGGAGGGGGUAGAGAGAUUCGUUUUCGCGGCUGAGUGUUCGAGUCAGAAGGCCGUGCGGCUUAAGUCAGGUGGUUUGCCGAGUGCGCGCGAUCUGGCACUCGGCAAAGUCAGAAGUUUUGCCGAGUGUCAGAUCGCGGGCACUCGGCAACUGCAGCUUUUGUCGAGUGCCCUGGAUUCGGCACUCGGCAAAGUGAAGUUUUAAUUUUUUUUAAAAAAAUUUAAUCGGAACACGGGCGUGCCAGCGGGCCCGUGACAUACUUUGCCGAGUGUGUAGCAAAAACACUCGGCAAAAUAUUAUCUUUACCGAGUGUUUUCGCUAGGCACUCGGCAAAGUACACUUAUAUUUCAUGUACACUUUUUCAAUAACGUGUUUUACUAACCUUUUUCUGAUAUACUUGGGAAAAACCUUAUCAAAUUCACUCAACAAUGGAUAUAUGGUUUUUCUACUGACAUUAUUCCAUUAUUUCAUUCAGUUAUAGCUCAAAUUGAAUUUAUAUCUAUUAAAAAUCAAUAAUUGCAUUUAAUAAAUAAAAAAUACCAAACGGAUCUGAAAAAUUUCCAAAAUUUGACAUGAACCAAUCUAUGUUGUAUGUUGCCUGUACAAAAAGCUUUGAAGUCAAACCCCAAUUCAAGUGUCACUUGGACUCCAAAUCUUAUCGGAUCCUUUCUAACUUCUAUGAAUCCUUUCGGGAGAUGAGUCGGUUUGUAAGCAUCAUAUGUCAUAAAUUGGGCGAAACCUUCUCAAUUUUUUACCACAGCCUCCACAUAUAAUAUCAUGACACCUUGACAAAUCUUGUGAUUUUCAGACUUCGUUUGCUUUUUUUAGAAUUUAACAACCAUUCAACCACAUGUUCGUGAUCGUGUUUUCUAAAAAAAUGUUCAAAAUUUCUUUUCAUUUCCUGGUUGAGACCUCAAUCCGGAUUGAAUAAUAUGAAUAUGAUUUUUUCACUGAUUUUAAUCCAUUAUUUAAAUCACUUGCAGUUAAAUUUGACUUAAAUAAACAAAUUCCUAUUAAUGCUAUCAAUUCAUUAAAAAUAGCAAACAGAGAAAAAAUAGACCAACUUUUAAGAUGGAUUACCAAAUGUCAUAUGUGGGGAGUAGAAAAAGUGUGGAGAGCAGAGGUGGAAAAAAAAGUUUUGCCUUUGCCAAGUGCCUACACAAACACUCAACAAACUUUGCGGAGUGCCUAUUGAAAACACUCAGCGAACUUCUGAGUUUGCCGAGUGUCUGGAGGGAGCACUCGGCAACCUACUUAUUUGCCGAGUGUCCGCGUCGGACACUCAGCAAAGUACUAACGGCUGGCACACUCCCCUAACGGACGGCGCACGUGCAAGCCAUGUGCUGGAGAUUUAUCGAGUGUCAAAUCGUUGCCGAGUGUCGUGUGGAUGUUUGCCGAGUGUCUUAUUUGUGACACUCGGCAAAGCUAUUGUUUGCCGAGUGUAUUAUUUAUGCCGAGUGUCUUCCAGUAUACACUCGGCAAAUGAUGUCUUUGCCGAGUGCUCGACAUAAAGCACUCGGCAAAAAUUUUACACUCGGCAACAUUCCUGUUUCCGGUAGUGAGUGACCCGGGACUAAAGACCCCCGUUGUCUCUGAUUGCUUUAUUCCGGAUGGAUUUUCAGGAGAUUUGCUCCCUACCAAUAGGGACUAAAGGCAAGUUUUCCACUUAUAGCAAACCAGUUAGCCCAUUGUUGAUGGAACGCAUCACUAGAAACAGCUCGGGAUCCACUUGUCCAAUAAUCGAGAGGGCCUAUAUAUGGACCACGUGUGCGGAUCCCUAAUUAGGAAAAAAGAAUAAUGGAGUAGGACAUCUCCAUGCUCACCUAGUAGCCGCUGCUAGCUUGUGCGUGUGGAACACGAGUGCCGGCCCAGUUGGCGCUAAGACAUCGUACGUGCAUUAAGGCUACGAUCUCUUUCUUCUAACUCAUGCUUGUGCUAUUAUACAUUAUUGCAUGAUCAUCAAGAUAAGAUCGUAUAGUGACUGAGUGAGACAUGUAUGUACUAACAUGCAUUUAAGCCUCGAACUGUGUGUUGUUACGUGAGCUGCCUCCUCACCUCGCCUCUGAAUUAUUGAACCGUUUCCAACAGUGUUGGUCUCAAAUAAAUUUGACACCAAACAGAUUUAUGAAGAAGAGAGAAUAAUACUUGGAAUUGGAAAAAGUUUAUCUCUCUUUACAAUGGAGUAGGGCUCCCUUUUAUAGUGACCCAUAAGCCACUUUACAUUUGGAAAAUGUCCUUCCUCAACCACUACAUUAAUUCCUAGGAUAUGCUGUACAUAAAGGUCAUUUGAGGUAACGUGUACAAAUGAACUCUUCCACAUGGUCACGUUUCUCAUGCCUCCUGUUUUCCAACCUCGAGACAUCAUCUUCACGCCAAGUUGAUCAUCUAGCCUCGAGGCUCCAUCCACGAUCCAGAAUGAACGUCCAGGCUUGAGGCUCCUUCUUCGUUAAGCUUUGUUGAGAACUCAUAACCUCACAUAGUUCUCCUCCGAGUAUUGUUCCCGACUCAGAACACUCGAGGUUUAGCUCAGUUGGAGUUUAGCUAUUACUGUUGCUAGUCACCAGCCUCGAGCCCCUCCAGAAGCAAGGUGAUGCGAGGGUACGAGUUUUACUAUUAAAGGUGUUUCCAUAGAAUGUGCGAGGUUAAAGCACUUGCAGCAAAAGCGUGGAGCUGCUUUCAACCAGAGUGCAAUAAUGCAGCCGUGCCCAUCUUGGUCUUGGUCUCCGCCUGAACUAUAGCAGAUGCUGGCAGCGGUAGCAGGGUGGUCCAUUAUAUCUAUGGAUGGCAAUGGUCGGAUUCGGAUGGAAUCGAAUUCGAAUAGCACUUUUUACCACAUACUAAUUCAAAUCCGAAUUCGGAUUCGGAUGUUCUCGAAUGCGAAUGCAAAAUGGAUGGUUCGAAUUCGAAUACUUAGCGGAUUUUUGCAUAAUAUUAAUCGAAUAGAAUUCAUUAAAUUUAGCCAAGAAAUUAAAUUUUCUGAAAUUAAAUACUUUCCCUUCGCCCCAGCGGCGGCCUAACUCCCAGGACGGUGGCGUGCGGGGCCCGAGCAUCCCUGGCCUCUAGUGGCGUGGCGGGGCGGCAUCCAGCAGCAGCGGCGGGGCUCGGCCUCCGGUGGCGCGCGGCCAGCCCGACCUACCCGGUCAGAGGUGGCGCAGCGGUGCGCGGGCCUCCCCGACCAGAGCCGGUGGGGAGCGGUGCGCGGGGAGGACCUCCCCAGCCGGAGGUAGCAGGGCGCGACCUCCCCGGCCGGAGGUGGCUCCCUGUGGGGGCGCGGCCGUGACAGCUAGCGAGGCAAUAAUUGCUUCCGUACGCAGCAAUAAUUGCUUGUGCGACACCGUGUUAUUACUCUGGUACAGUACUCCCUCCGUUGCAGUACACUGGUCCAGGCGUCAGGACACUGCUCCUGCCCUCGUGGUUCACGUGCAUCAGGCCAGCAGACAAGCUAUGAUGUUGCCAACAGUGUUUGUUUGAACAUGGAGAUGUCAUUGUGAUUGUCAGGGACCCGACACCAUGCAUGCCGAUUUCAUAUUCUUAAUAUUUAUUUUUUUAAUGGUUGUUGAAACUAUAUAGUUACUCCAAUAUCACGUUUCCGAUUAUAAAAAUUAACAUAAAGAGAUCGGAAGGGAGAGCCCGCAUAAUGAAGCCGACGCGUAUAAUAAGCACUAGAGCCGGCAUUUAUACAAACGGGUACGCAUAGUAAAAACUAGAAUUUAUAAAUAAAUGAAGAUAUUCAAAUAUCUGGCUUACUUUUUUCAUUAAUUUUGCAUGAAUAAGGGAUGAUUCAUUAAUCAUUAUUGAACAAAUUGGCACACAUGCUUCGUGCCCGCGUUGUGAGCAUUAUGCGAUGCCACUGAGCUGCACCACCACGGUAGAGGGCCUGUUUGCGAUGCCACCGAGCUGCACCACCACGGCAGAGGGUCUGUUUGGGAAGGGGAAGUUAAAGUUUAACACCCCCCAUUUAACACCUUUUUAACAAAAUGGCUGCUAAACACUUGUGUUAAAAGAGUAGUGUUAAAAUUUAACACCUCUCUUUUCAUAAACACAUGGAGGGGGUGUUAAAAUUUGCUAAAUGUGUUAAAAGUGGUCCCCUCCCCACUUAUUCCUUGGUUGCCCCCCUCUCUCUCCUCCUCUCUCUCCUACCCGCCGCAUUUAAGAGCAUUAUUGAGGGGUAAUGCAGUCCUUUUCCAACAAAAGUGUUAAACUUUAACAACCCUUCCCAAACAUGCCACAAGCAACACCACCGGCUGACUGUGCUAGCGGGGAGCACCCUCACCGCCUGCCCGUGGGGACUUCUUCUGCCGGCCAUCGUGUCUUUGUAGGACCGCCGCGUGAGCCUAUGAGCCACCGGUGGCCGUGCGCCCAAGGGCCAUCACCAUGCCACCUGAGGAUGCUGUCUACCCGGUGCCGCGUGCCUCUGCUAGCUGCUUGCACCUGGGCCGCCGCUGGUCGCCUGCACAGCCACGCGUUACAGCCGCCCCCCUGCGCUGGGCCACCCCAUUUCGUGUUGGAAGAACUGCCACAGUCUCGCGCACUGGGGUUUUGCUAGUGACGACCAUAGCCUCCAAGAUCAAAUGAAAAAGUUGGUACUCAAAACAUACAUCCAUUAAUCUAGUCGUGCUAAUCCUUACCACCAAAUAAAAACUAGCAUGUGUUGUGUUUUUGUGACCCUAAACGAUCACAAAUGAAUAACUUAUGGGCGUUGCUAGCCUAUAAGUUAUGGGCGUUUGUGACCCUAGUCGCGCCGGGGUCUUGCUGGUGACAACCAUGGUCUUCGCGAUAAAGUAUUAAGUCUCAUCGAGUUCUACAAUUUUGAUAUAAAAUUUCUAUUCAUCCGAGAUCAAAUGAAAAACAAAUGAAAAAAUCCGAAGUAUUAGGCUUCAUCGAGCUCUACAAUUUUGAUAUAAAAUUUCUAUUCAUCCGAGAUCAAAUGAAAAAAUCCGAGAUCAAAUGAAAAGUUGGAACUCAAAACAUACAUCCAUUAAUCUUGAUAUAAAAUUUCUAUUCAUCCGACAUCAAAUGAAAAAGUUGGUACUCAAAAUAUACAUCCUUUAAUCUAGUCGUGCUAAUCCUUACCACCAAAUAAAAAAACUAGCAUGUGUUGUGUGUUUCUGACCGUAAACGAUCACAAAUGAAUAACUUAUGGGUGUUGCUAGCGUCCCGGACGCUAGCAUCGGACGCAUGAGCAGCCGUCCGAUCGGGUCCGACACCACUUCACGAUCUGUCUUAAAAAAAAGUCCCACCGAAACAUUGUUCCAUGUUGCAUGAAAUACCCCACUAUCCAUCGCCAGGUCUACAGCAAGCACCACCUUCCAAUCUGCUGCUCACCCAAGCUAAAUAGGGGCAUUAAAAUUGCAGAAAUAUGUCACAUAUCCUUGUCAAAUUAAACUAAAUCGCAACAUCCGAAAAUUUCUUACACAAAACCAUGAAACAUAUCGAUUAGAUAGGUGUAACAAGAUGGAAUAUGGUAUCCAACAUAUAGAUUCCGAAAAACAGAUGAAACAUUAUGUAACGAUUGUUGAAACAGUCGAGAAAUAUAGAUGUAACGAUUAAAAUUUAGAAAAGAAGCUUUAUGCAAAUUGCAAAAAGCUGAAAUAAGUGGUUGAAACAUUUCGAAUCACCAAAUGCCACAUUUGAAAUGGCUACAUGAAACAUCACGAAAUCAAUUGCAACAGUUGAAGAUGAAAACAUUCAAAUGCCUUGCCUUUCUCCAGAUUUGACCCUCCAAGCAUGAGUCCAGCCAUUUGCACAUUAGACCCUUGGGAGGAGCUCACCGGAGAACAACAAGACCGUGUUCUCCAACAAUUUUCUGAUCAAAUUGCAACAGACAAAACAAAGCAUUGCAACAUCUGGCAUCACGAGCUACAACAUCAACAAGUUAGGAUCAGGAGAAAGAGGGAAAACACAAGCCUAACAACCCCAAGACAAAACUGAUGUACUCAUCAUACAUCACGGCUUGCCGUGCACAGAGAUGAAGGCCGCCAAGCUCAAUCGAGACAGAGACGACGUGAUAGUGCUCCAGAUCGACGGUCCCCAUCAAUUGUUGCGUACACUGCCAAAAGCAAUGGAAGAAGAAGGGUCGUCCCUGCUCGACCUCCGUAGAUGAGCGCAGAUUGGGGGAAACCGUAUAGAGUGCCGCUGACAGCACAGGCGAGGGGGCUCAGGCUUGAUUCAGGGUGAGGGUAGCGGGUAGCAUGAGGAGACAGUCAGGUUUCAUAGGAGAGAGGCGGAGUAGAGAGCUCUGGUGACUCGGUGAGGAGGGUGCGGCACGGAGAAAGGUGUGUAGCUGAAGGAGCUACAUGGUUGGGGCGAGGCGAGCGUAGAGACUAGAGAGGGAAAAAAAGCAUGGGGAGGAGACGAUAUGUGGUUGAUGGUGCGGGCACGUGGUGAGCGCACCGUAUGAAAAUUUUGCUCGCGUCGGAUGACUGAUGUGAAGCAUUACCCAAUCUUAAUUAUCUCCCAUAAUCCAAAACUCACAAAAACAUCAAAAAUCCGCCGAGAAUAAAUUAAGUAAACCAUGCACACACAGAUAAUAAAAUUGCUAAUAAGGCCAGAGAUAAUACAUGAACAUAUUAGACUGUUCAUGACACAUAUCACGGUGGAUAGUGUCUGUGUCCUUAUUACAAGCAAUGAGAGAUGCUUGUCACCACACACACGCGCACAGAUGCAUGACAUACAUAUAGUUGAGACCAACAGAUGGAUCAACUAGAGGUCACCCCAUAUGGUGAACAAUUUAUUGGAGAUAAACAUUAACAUAACUUGGCCAUAGCUUGAAGCAUAGCAACAUAUGCCUAUGAAUGGCGUUCAUGCUAUCGUUUUAGGCUUGUCCAGCUUCUUUCAUCUUAGCAAGCACUUCCAUUUCUACCAUCUUAGCAGCAACUGUCAAAUUGAGAUAUGGAAAUCCCAUUAGCGCAUGAUUAAUUUUGCAGUGGAAAUAGAGUGCAAGAUAUCUUCAUGAUGUAAAUAACAUGCCUGAAGUUGUGAGAUGGGAAGUGAAGUCAACAAAUUACAUUAACGGAAAUGCAUGGAAGGCCACACAUACGUAUUAGUCCAUAAUACGCUACAAAGCUUGUAUGUACAUAUAGCAAAUUAAAUGCAUUAAUUGAAUAGAGUGAGUUUAGUGAAUUUACCAGAAUCGUCCAGAAAACAUGGGAAACAGCAAGUGUGCUUGCAGACUGUGUCGGAGCCACCCACACGAAUACAAAGCUGACAACAUGCUUGUGCCUCGUGGGAUACGCAGCAGCCGCACUGUGCCGCGGUGGCCGAGUUAACAUUGAGGCUCAAGAUGAACAGGCACAUGAUCACCAUCAAAGUGGUAGUCCUCUUUCCCUCCAUUGCCUCCUGUCGCUGCUACCUUCCUUGGUUACUAGUAAGUUUAUUGGUUUUGUGUUGAGAGGUGAUUCUUGCAUUGAAUGGACGUUGCCGCGGCUGCAAUUUAUAGGCAGCUGCGCUAUGUGAUGAUAUGGACAAGGUGCAAAUGGGUGGUCCUGAUAU